GGGUCGAGGGGGAAUAGAAUAGCCAUUCUAUCGAACCAAAUAUGAUGUAAAUGGCAUAUGAUACCGGAAAUGUCACCCGAUACUCGGGUACCGGUUAAGUACAUAUUUGUAUUAUUAUUAAUAUUAUCAUUACUACUCUUUUUGUGAAAUAAUAAUUACAUAAUCUUGAAUUUAACUUGAUUUGAUCACAAAAUGUUAAUAACAUGAAUCUAUAUCAAUUUGAAUUUGUAUUAACCCAAAUUUGGAACUAACCUAAAUUUGUAAUUAUCUAAAUUCCAUACUCCAAAUGUUUCGUACUUGAAAUAAUUUGAACUUAAAUUAUCUAAACUUAUAAUAAAUCUACUCAAAAUGAAUAAAAAAAAAUUGAAACCCGAUUUGACUUUAUCUAGAUUGAAUACUAAUAUGAGAGAUGAGUUCAAUUUUAAAGCUUUUUAAGCCAGUAAAAUAUAUUUUUGUCAAAUUUAAACUUAAUAGUACUCAAUUUGAACAAUUCGCUAAUCUUAUCAAGUUUUCAUUUUUAAUAUAUAUUUUAAACAUUAUUUAUUAUGAAAUUAUAAUUUUACUUUUAGUAUAUAUUAUUAAUCUUAAGCUUAAUUAUCAAGUUAACUCGAACUUCAACUCAAACUUGAAUACACAUAAACUUAAUUAAACUCGAGUAACUCAAUUAUAUAUCGAGUCAAAUUCGAACCUUGAAUUUUGAGUUAAACUCGAACUUACAAGAACUCCAGCUAAACUCGGCAGAAUUAUAACCCUAGUCAUCUUUCUCGACUCACCAUGUCACCAUUGUAUAAGUCAAGUUAGGCUUUAUUGGAGCACCGCUAUGUCUUUCCUUCUUCAUUAAUGAAAAAUUUCUACUAAAAAUAUAUUUAUUGAGAAAUUCAAAGAAAAGACCUGAACUUUACACUUAUGUUCCAAAUUCAAACUCGACUCAACUUAAUUUGAUACAAAUUAAAAGGCUAAAAAAUACAAAGCCAAACUAAUUCAAACUCAUACCGACCCAAAAAUCAAACAACCCAAAUCAAAAAUAAAUUUGAAUCUGAAACAUCCCCAACUCAAAAAAUUCAAAAAAUCUGAAGUGAUCAAAACUAAAAUGAUCCGAUUCAACAAAUAAAAUAUUAUUGCAGCAUCUCAGCAGAAUCAAUUUAUGUACAGAAUAAAAAACUAAUCAAGAAGAAUAUAUGCAUUGAUAGUUUCAACAAAUAUUAUUUUUGUACUUAAAUUUAGAAAAAUAAAAAAGGUUCCCUUAUUACAUAAAAUUCAAUGAACAAAAAAAAGAAAGAAAGUAUUUUCUAAUUCAUUUUCUCCCUCUAAAACCAUGUGAUUUUUUUCAAUAAAAAUACCUGAACCACAUGGGUGUAUUUUGUUUGUAAAGGAAAAAAACGAAAAAAAAGAAGAAAGAAUUGCUUGGAAAGCUUAUAUUUAAAAACCCGAAUUUUCACCAAUAAAUUAAAAUAAAAACGACUACGAUUUACAACUUUACAAACUACUACCAGAUACUGGAUCUCCCCGCAACCGUGGCCUGAUGACCAAACAACUUGCAACUAACCCGGGCCUCUCUUAGAUGAUCUUGAAACAGCCCGGUUUGUGUUCGAUGUUGGGAGCUGCCGGGGUUCUUCAGCUUUUGGCCCAUCCUGCAUAAAGAUCAGGCGAUGCCUAAAACCAGUUGACAUGUAUAGAAAUACAAUCUUCUAAAGACCCUCAAAAUGCAUGCAGAUCUUCGAAACAAUUGAACAUACCCGAAUCCAAGUUCUAAUCUUUUACAUUAUUAACAAAUUACCGACAUAUGUAACAAGCAACUCGUAUACCUUCAAUAAUGAGUUGUUUCGAGAUUGUGCUUGUGAUUUCGCAAGCAAUCGGUGUUGUCGUUGAAUUUGCUCAAACUGUUCCAGCCACAAAGUAAAAUUAAUGUCGUUUUGUACAUUCCCAUUAUUGAGGUUUUUGUUACCAUCCUCAGUAAUUUGGGAUGCACCGUGAUGGGAGUAUGGGUUGCCUGACAAUGCGUGCUUGAGUUGAUCACCAGCAUUGAAGGAGUAUGUUGGGACAGUUUUUAAACGAGUUUGCAAUAUCUUGAAUGCAGCACUUUGCUGCAGUUAAAUAAGAAAGACAAAUAUAAUGAUGAAAUAUUAAUCCCGAUGUGUAUAUGCGCCAAUUUACCACGGGCAUGAAUAAACUUGAGGUUUCCCUUAUACCAUAAAGUCGAGUUCCAUUGUUUUCAUCAAGUCGAGUUUACACCAAAAGUCGAUUUUUAUUCAGUUAGUUCGAGGGAGUGAUGCCUAGAAAAGAAAGGAUAAAGACAUACCUGAGGAAGUAGCAUCAAAAGACCAUACAAUGCUUUCAGCAACCAUACAUAUCUUCCGGGUUCAAGAAGCUGGAAAUAGAGAAAACAACAGACCAAUAACAUAACGGAUCUUCUAAAAUCAAAAGACAAAAAUGGAAAAUAGAAAUAAACCAAUUACUUAGAAAAAAAUGCAACUAUAGUUACAAUUAAUGUAUUCAACUAUGCUAUGCUUGGAAGCAUGAAUUUGUAAAAUUGAAUUCGGUAUUCAUUUGUUAUAUAAAUUGUGAAAUGAAAUGCAUAUACUAUGUAUUAGUUAAGAGAUUCAAUAUGAUUCUAUUUUGAAAAGUAUAAAAUCAUGAAUUUCAAAAUCAUAAAUAUUCAUAGAUUUGAAAAAUAAUCAUGGAUACUACAUUUAUAUGUGUUUUACCACAGAUUGUGAGCUAUUAAAAGUAUAAGUUCAUAGGGCAAGUAUUUAUAAUCUAAGCACCUGCAAUCUUAGAUGAGCAAAGAUCGGGGUUUCAAGCAAACGAAUCAAUUUAUCAAGCUGAACCAAGAAUUUGACGUUAAUAUCUUCCUCAACCAGGGACUGAAUCACAGCACUCGCAUGCGGAUACAUCUAUCAAGCAAAUAAAUACUUAUAUUAAUAACCAUAAAAGUAUAUGGUUCAACGUCGCAUCUCCUCACCUUAGCCCAUAACACAAAAAAAGGAGAUAUUGACAAGCAAUUUAAAGGAGAUAGUUCCUUACCUGAGCUAAUAAACAGAGACUUAUAAUUGCCAUUGGUGAAUGGCUCCAUGAAGCAUACAAAGCAACAAAUAAAUCUUUUCCAGCAGCAUUAGCCAGUGACUGUUUCAAAAGUUUCCGAAUCUCAGACAGCUCAGAAGAAGUGAGUAGAAUUAAAUUCAAUGCCUGAAACACGAGAGAAGCAAACUUAAAAUCUGGUGCUUGAUGGAAGUAACAAAGCUAAAAGUUAAUUACUUACUUUAUUUUAUAACUCUAAUAGAAGAGCAUAAUUGCAAUAGUUAAAUUCUUAAAUAUGUGACAGAACCUGAACCAUAAUGCAGGCAAAUUCUAGGUCUGCUUCUCCCUCUAGUAUGGAGGAUAGCUCACGGUAAACCCUUUCAGCAUCCAAGAGAUCACAAAGUCUACGUAUUAUCAAAGCUCCACGCCUAAGGAAACAGGGACAUGAUUUGCAAAAGAAAGAGGUGAGACAUUUAUACAUAAUUAAAAUAACUACAGCUAGUUGGCCAUGUAGCCUAAAUGAGAGAUAAACAGCCAAAAGAAAAAAAAUCGUAAUAAAUUUCAAAAAGGAAAAGAAAAGCACUGGGGCUUGAGGGGACUAGAAUCACCUCUCCAGGAGAGAAUGAUCGAUCCGGAAAUUUUGCACUAGAAAAACAACAAGCUGGCUGAAAUGUUGGGGAUCUUGUGCUAUGCAUGCAUGAAUGUCAAGAACUAGGAGCACCACCUGAUAGCAAAAUCCAGAUUGCAACGUAAAUUAGUAUAUACAAACAAGAGCAUUUUUAGGUUAACACCACACAGACACACAUGUAACACAUAUACUAAUAACGAGAAAUUUAUAGAAAUAGUUGGAGCCAAAAAUCAUGAAACCAAAUAUUAACAGUUUUAAAUUUUAUGUCCAAUGACAGUUAGAUACGUCCAACAUAAAAACAUCACGCCAUUUAAUACAUGGCAAAAGAAGUAAGAACUAAGUACUAGUACUAGUGACUAAGAUGCUCCGAAUAUAUUCCUAGGAAGAAAAUUUCCCAAGCAUUGUUCGAUUAUCAUCCAUUCAGCCUAUAGAAGGACAAUUAUUGGAGAUAAAGAGAGCAGUAUAAGCACAGCAAGGAAUGAAACAAACAAAAAAACUCAAUAAUGAAUGUUGAAAAUAUAUAGACUAGCAGUAACUUGUGCCAAACUAUCGAAAUAUACUGUCAGAGGGAUUGAGACAGAUGUUUUUCUAACAAAAAUAAAGCAAAAAAACCAGAAGGAAACAAAGCAAACUAAUUGCGUCCAAGAAAGAGACAUCAUACUGAGAGUGAAAUAUAGUGAUUCUUUAGGCUCAAUGUUUUGAAAACAACUGAUCCUUAAUCCCCAAUUCCUUCCAAAAGAGAGAGAAGAAAGAGGCGAUAUGGACAAGGAAAACCUCUUGCAAAGGCAAGUCUCUAUCUAAGUUCAUAGGAAGGUAAGGAUAUUGCCAGCUGGGUUAGCUAGUUUCAGUAUCACCAUUCAAGAAACAAAUUAAAGGACAUAGGGUUCAUCCUAUUGAAUUAUAGCGAUACUAAGACACAGAACAAGAAUAAAGAAAUGAAACAAAACAAAACCCUUCAUGGAACAAUUGAAUAGAAAACAUUUAAGUGGCAGCAGAAAAUCACCUCAUCAGAAGAGUCAGCUAGAGCUUUCAAAAGGGUGUCAAAUAUGUCAUUUAGAAAACACAAUACCUGUUUCAGGUUAAAAAAAAAUUAAGCACCAUCUAUAUUGGAGUAAUAUUGGCAUAAGAAAUAGCAAUUGGUUAUAAACUUCAAAUUUCAGACUUUAAAAUGAGCUUAUACACUUCUUACUUUGCUUUAUAUUGAAAUUAUCAUGCCUUUACACGGGAAAUCAAGACUUUUUAAUACACAAAUAGAUUUCAGGAAGCAGCAUCAGAUAUGCUUCCACCAAACAUGAAAGCCAAAUAACAUAUGGAAAGAUAUGAGAUUUACCCAAGAUAAUGAAAAACUAAAAUAUCAUGCACACCACCAGAUGUAUAUGAAAUAUACAAAUAACUGCAUCAUCACCUCAGAACGAUGUCUGUCUAAAAGGGUUGAUAUCCAGUGUAACGCUUCAAUUCUCGUGGCUUCCCACUCACUAUCCAGUUGCCUGUCAGUCAAAAAUAUAGUAAUUACUAUAAAAUCAUUGUAAGAUGAAAUUAUUUCAGAAGCAAAACAAGUCUCAGUUUUAAGCACUUUUUGUUUAUAGCUCUUCAAAUUGAGAAGAGAUAUAUAUAGCCAGUUUUCAGGAGCAAAGUGCAAACUGCUAGUAACAUUUCAAACCUAGCAUUUUUCCCAGGUAACAAAAACUACACCUCCUUGCAAUGGAGAGAAUGGCUCCCACAUUAAACGCUUCUUCUGGUUCACCCUUGACUGAACGAAGCUCCUCAUUGGUUUCACGAGCAAACUAAUAUUUGAAACACACAAAAUUAUCAGAGGAAAGAACUCGCAAUGAGUUUCUAAAAGGCAUUGCAGAUGGCUAUUUAAGACACAUUAAGGAGAAUACAGAAGACAAAAGCUUACCCCUCUAAUUUUCUCUUCUUUAUCAGACAUGCAGGGGAGAAUGGCUCCGAGUAUGUCAGCAUAGUAAGGAACAAGCUGGUCUCCACCAAGUUUUACAAACUCAUUUAUCUGUACAAUGAGAAAAUCAAAAUGUGAAAUUACCAAAUUAAAUAAUUAGUUCAUGAAUAGCAAGAAAAAAUAAAGAAUAUCAUGUUAUUGACAAAUAUAUUGACAAGGGGAAAAAUCCUUUAUCAAGAUUAUUUUCCUUUUUCUGCUUUAAAAAUCUUCUCCCAGAUAUGGUAACACAAAGUCUAACUCUACUUACCCAAGUCAUAGCUGUUAACCGAGUGAAUUCAUCAGGAGAAGCAGCCCUUUGCACCAGUAUUUCAGCCAUGCGACCAUAAUCUACAGACUUCAAGAGAAGCACUGCUCGAGUCAGAAAAUUAAAAAUGAACAAAAUAUUUUCUUUUUAAGACAAAUACUUUGGUAAACGAUAAAUAAUAACGCAAAACUUCUUUUAUAAAAAAUCUUGAGGCGCCAAUCAUGCCAUUCCCAUAAAGAUUUGUGGAAAAGACAACAAUGGCAUAAGAAAAUUAAAAACAAGUGCCCAUGAAACAAAUCCAGCAAGCAAAGAAAAAAAUAAGUAUAAGUCUUACUGGGGAAUUCUUGAUCUCUUGGAGAAACUCAGAAAGUGCUGAAUCAGCUUGUUGCCGUAUUUCAUGACUGGAAUCACUUAACAUAUUAAACAAACCUGAAAGUUAUUAACAGCAAGUUAAUUAAAACAAUUUCUCCUAGAAAAGUAGCGGAUUAAUUUAAAAGACUGUAACUUAAUUACCAUCAAGAAAAUCAGGUAGGAAACCCAACAUGUCAAUAUCUGGAACACUGUCCAGUACAGUUAUCCAUCCAACCAAAAACUGACGGACAUAGGGAUUCAAGACAUUCAUGCGUUCCCUCAACAAUGGUAUAAAUUCUUCAAUACUGAAGACAGAAAACAAAUCAAUAACAUUAAAAGAUUUUGUUCCCAAAAUAUUUGAUCAAGACCUAUAACUAUGACAAGAUUCAUAGAGCACAAUUGGAAGGGAAUAAAGCACACCUGAACUGGUCACUUUCUGUAACAAUGUCCUGUUUCACAUGGUAAAACAGGAGUAAUAAAUCCCAUAUUCACAUAGUUACCUAGAUGCAAAAUUUAAAUGAGGAAGCAAUUAUUAACCUUCACUAGCCUAUCUAAAAGGUGAGCAGCACUCUGCACAUUGGCUGCAGAAUCAGCUGAUAGCUUGCACAAAGCAUCAAAUAUCUGAUUAAAGAAUAUGAUAAAAUCUCCUCGGACAACCUGUACAGCAGAAAACGGCAAAUCCAGUCCACCAUCAGUCAAGAAAGCAAGAGACAAAAAAAUUUAAUUUUAUAAGCUAGCCAAUCCCCUUUCACCUUUGCAAUGUUAUAUAGAGCUUCACAAGCAUAAUAACGAACUCUGCUAUCUUGGUCAGAAAAAGAAUUAAGCACUGGUGGCACAAUUUGCUGGUAGAUGCAUAAAAAGCAAAUUAAUCACUAAGAAGAGAGAAAGCUGAGAAAUAACUGACACUUAUUAAUACUUGAAAAAAUAAAAAGCAAUCAUCAGAUGUAAGAGCAUCUAAUUACUCUAGAAAUGGAAACAGUGUUCUAUCUCAGCGAGUUAUGAAAACAGUGCUUAUGAGAGGAACAACCAACAAACAAUUUGCAUCUAAUGACUUAAUCACGAGGUCUAAUUCAAUCCUUGUAAGUGUUUCCAAUUCUAUACAUGUUUCUAAAAAUGCCACGGUAAACGUUAUUCUAUACAUAUGUCAAAAGAAAGGUAUUCAAAGGCAAACUACUAAUCCAUACUUCAAGAUGUUGAGAGGCUUCAGAAGUCAACCCAACAGUAGCAGCAGCUAAACCUAUCAAUCCUCCCUACAUAAACACAACGCAAAAUUUAACAAAACUGACCUAAAUUUAAAAUUAAAUAGAUAGGAAAAUCUCAUACAAAUUAAAAAUGAUUCAAAAUUCUGAAUAUGAUUCAUUAUCCACCAACCUUACGGUGAUUAGCUUGUGGCGAGUACGUAUACUCAGUGGUCAACAAACUGAUCACCGCCGAUAUCUUCUCGUGAUCUCCUAAAGCCGCUAGCUGUUUCACAAUUCCUUCAACCUAAAACAUAGAAAUAUUAAUAUUCAAUUACGAUAACAAAAAAGAUUAAGAAAUUCAAUUAUCAAAACAUCAAAUUCCAAGGAAAUUCAAAAAAAAAAACCUCAAGUGCCGCAUUCUUCCGCUUCUCGUAAAGCUUAUCGGAGAGAUUACGGAGAACGGAGGCGGGAACCACAGAGUGCGCGUCAGCCAUAACAGAAUCUUUUUUCAAAAAUACAAAUACAUAAAACAACGAAAGACAAACUUAUAACAAAAAUCCUUCAAUUAAAUCAAAUUCGUUUCCUGAUCUUUUCAAAUUCGAAUCUGAACAUAACUUUCUAUUUUUAAUUUGAAUGAGAAAUCAGAUCUGAUGAAAUCAAGAAUAUGCGUAGCGGUUAUUUUUUUGUCAAAAGGCAAUCGGAUUUUCUAUUUUCUUUUUCUUUUUUUGUAUUUCAUGAUUAUGUGAUUUUUAAAAUAAUAAUAAUAAUAUUGAUUAUGUUGGGUUUGGAUAAAAAAGAUAAAAGAGCACUGCAAGUGACAUGUUAACGAAAUGAUCAAAUUACUCUUUUUAAGGGUAAAUUACCGAUAUUUUCUUAACUAUUUGUAUUUUUUUUUCGGUCACUAAUUAUGAUUAAUUACAAAAUGUUUAUUCAAUUAAUUGAUUUUUUUUGGUCACAAUGGAUGAUGGGAGAAUGAUGUGGUGGUUUUUAAAAUUGUUAUAAUAGCAACUUUAAUGCUCAACAUUAUAUAUUAUAUCAAUUCAGUUUUGAUUCUAAAAAAUUAACCCUCAAUGUUUACACACUAUAUAAUUUGGUCCUUUUUUUUCCAAUUUUUCAUUUCUUUUGAGCCUUCCACCUAAAAAACUAAAUCUAUCAACUAAAUUUGAUCGAAAAUAUACUAAAAAUAAAAACACUCGAAAGUCCAAGAUAAUAAUUUUCAUCUUUUCUCAUUCCUUUAAAAUUAACUAUCAAUAUCACAAAUAAAGUAAAAUUGAAAAAAGACAAAAAAAGAUUGCACAAUGUAUAAUGUUGAGAGUUAAUAUUUUUGGAAUCAAGACUAAAUUAAUAUAAUGUAUAAACGUUAAGAGCUAAAGUUAUUAUUAGGUCAAUUUUAAAAGUUGCUAAGUUAUGUUUCUGGUAGUAAUUUAACUGCGAGUGACCAAAAAAAAUUUUGAAUAGUUAAAUAACUAAAAAAGAAAAUUUUAAAUAGUUGAGUGAUUAUUUUAUAAUUUUUUAUAAUUAGAUGAUUAGAAAAAAAAUACUAAUAGUUGAGUGAUAGUGAAAGUUUCCAUUUUUUAUUGUAAAGUUUAGCCAACGUGAUUGAGUCAAAUGUUCUUAAGGGUAUACUUGGAAUUCCCUGUAGUAAAAAUGAUACUUUUUAACUUUUUUCCACCAAAUUCUCUAGAUUAUAGACAAAAAUAUUUUCUCUAAAUAAAAAAAAAAUCUUCAUACAACUACUGUUGUAAACCUAAAAGAAAAUUUGAAAGAAAUAAAAUAUUUAACAGAAAAAUAAGAUAAAUAUUUUAAAAAAUAUAUAUUUACAACAACAAAUUAAUAAUUAUCUUUAAAAAAACCCGUGAAUAAAAAUCACACUCGGAUAUUUUGUGCACUUCUUACCUAAGAUUGAGCCAAGUCAACAGUUUGUUUAAGAUAAUAGGUUGAAAUUUGUCAUAUAUGUACGUAAUUUUCAAGAAUUUACUACUUAUUUUUUUAUUUUUUUAAAAUUUAAAAUUAAAAUUCAAUUAUUAAUAUUAUUAAUUUUUUUAAAAAAUUAAAAUAAAACUUAAAAAAUUAAAAUAAAACUCACUCAAUAGGAAUGCUAUUUAAAAAAUUGAAUAAAUUACACUAAUAAUCAUCCGAUUAUUAACAUUUUGUUUUUGAUCAGCGAACUAUUAAAAGUUACAGAACGAUCACUUAACUAUUAGAUUUUGUCUUUUUAUAAGAUUAAAAUAUAUAGAAGGUCCUAUAUUGUAAGGAUUGAAUCAAAUUAGUCCAUCUAUUAUUAAAUGGAUCAAUUUAAACCUAUAUUAUUAAAAAGAAUCAAAUAAGUCCAAAUUGCUAUAAUUAAAAUUUACAUUAUAAAAAAUUUCUUGAAUUCUUUUUUCAAUUACAAAUUAAUUUACAGAAACAUAAAAACUUUAUAAAUAUUAACUUUGUUAAACAGUAAACGUUAACUUUAUUCCAAUUUGAUCUUAUAUGAUUUUUUUUUUAAUAAUACAUGUACUAAAUUGAUCCAUUUAAUAAUAAAAGGACUAAUUUGAUCGGGUCCUAUAGCUAACGCUUUUGCGCUUUCCUUCGCCUCGAUUGUGCCUUCUGCCAUUUCUUCUUCGGAACCAACUUGCUCUUUGGUUUCAACUUCAACUCCGGCGAGAACUUAUAAUUUGGAUCCCUCAUUCGUGCUUGAAUAUCCUUGAAAAACUCCAUAUUCAAUUUCUUAGGUCCUCCUUGUCGAAGCUCCUCAUAUUCCGGUCCCGAAACAAUGUUCUCAAAUGCUCCUAUUAAAAUGUCGAUGUCGCUCAUCACUUCCCAAACAUUCGUAUAUCGCCCGUCCGGUCCUUUCUUGAGUUUCUUCAAGGCGUUCUCAACUGCUAGUUUCCUUGCUUUCUUGCCCGGUGAUAGCUCCUCGGGUUCUUUUUCAGAUUUCAGUAGCUCCGAGAUGGUUCUGUACUUUGGUUUUUCCUCGAACUCGAAAAGUUUAUCAAUGUACUUAUCGCUGGAUUCGUUAGGAUAAGGUUCAGUAGGAAUAUCAUCGUCGUCGUCACAUUCACUGCCAGUCCAUAAUGUCUUUUCCUCAUCACUCCCAGACCAUACGCUUCUUAACUCGUCACUGUCAUCGGCAUCGAUUAGCUCGGAAUGAUCUUUAGCUUGCUGUCUGGCUUUCCGUAUCUCUCUUUCCAGACGGUUUCGAUCAGUUUUAGAAUCUAUUUCGUCAUUUUCAGGAUCACUUUCAUCUUCACUGCCAGUCCAUAGGGUCUCAUCUUCAUCCAUCUCUUGUUGCCAAGCCUUCCUGAAAUCUUCAUUGCCGGGUGUUUUGCUCCCAAAGAGAUCGUAAUGUUUACGCCCUUCUCGAGCAUAUGAUCGGAAUACUAGCAAACAUUAAACAAUAUCGUGGUGAGCAUACAGUUGGUUCGGUAGGUUCAAUUUCAAAGAUUUGGAAACCGGUUAAACCAAAUUAACUUACAAAAUCAACCAAACUAACCGAUUCAGUUUUAUUUAUACUAAAGGUGAUCAAUUUUAAAAACCGAUAGCCAACCAAGCUAAUCAAAUAAGACCAAUUCUCAAAGCUGAUAAAUUUCAAAACCAACUAAAAUUGAAUCAAAUUAACCAAAUUUGAUCAUGUGUCAUGGUUCGGUAAAUGUACCAUAGAGUCGGAUUACAUUUUGCCCCCUCUAUUAAAAAAUGGGCAAAUUAAUCCUUAUAUAUUAGAUCAAAGAGUAAACUAGUCCUAUUAAAAAUUUCAUCCAUUUUUACUGUUAAAAAUUGGUCCAUUUAUGUCUAAAUUAGGCACAUAUGACGCGCCAUGCGUAAUUGUUUGGUUAUUCUACCAGCAACACCAAUUUUUAACAAUAGAAACGGAUACAAUUUUUAAUAGAAAGGACUAGUUUGUUAUUUAAUCUAAUAUACAAAAACUAAUUUGCCUAAUUUUUAAAUAAAAGGGGCAAAAUGCAAUCUAACUCAUAGCACAAAAGGCCUCCAUGGCACUUUUACUGUAUGGUUCUUCAAAAGGAAUAUAUAUAAAAAAAAUACCAAUUAAAAGAAUAACAUAAACCAUGUAAUUUGAACCUAUCAUAUUUCAACCUCGCAUGAAAAAACCAACUCUUAGCACAAAGGGCAUCCAUGGCACUUUUACCGUCAUGUUUCUUCAAAAGGAAUAUAUAAAAAAAAAACCAAUUAAAAGAAUAACAAAAACCAUGUAAUUUGAACCUAUCAUAUUUCAACCUUGCAUGAAAAAACCAGUAUGAAAAAUAUCUAUGAAGGGUCCACUUAAGAAUCCUCACUCAUCUUCUUUGUGCUGGUACUUUUUACAAACAUUGACUACAUUCCCAUUUUUGUAUCUAGCUCAAAAUAACAACCUAAACAAAAGACUAACGGGUUCUUCACAUACAUUCAAGAGAUAAUAUUCAUGAAACGGGCAUCACAAAAAUUGAGAUUUUACACGUAAAAUAAUAGAACCACUGUCUGUUUAUACUUUUUACAAACACAUUGACUACAUUGCAUAUCUGCACAUAAUUCAAAAUAACGAGCUAAACAAAUAACUAAGGGCUUCUUAACAUACAUUCAAGAGAUAAAAUUCAUAAAAUGGGUAUUAGAGAAAAUGACAUUUUAUGCGUAAAUGCAUAGAAACACUUUAUGUCAAUACUUUUUACAAACACAUUGACUACAUUGCAUAUUUGCACCUAAUUCUAAAACAAAUAACUAAUGGCUUCUUCACAUACAUUCACAAGACAAAAUUCAUGAAACGGGUAUAAGAAAAACUGAUUUUACACGUAAAUGAAUAGUAUCAAUCGGUUUAAAAAAAGAAAAGCAAGAAUAUUACCUUGAAAAUUAGGGUAAAACCCGCCAUUAAGAUGACUUGUUGAAGAGCUUAGCAAAGGAUUUAAAUGAGAUUCUGACCUGCAAACAAAUUGGGUUUUAUUUUCUUUUUAUAUUUUCAUUUAAAUCUCAGAUUUUCAGGAGAAAACUAAAUAUAUAAAGAGUUAAAUAAAGACCUUGAAAAAGGUGGCGGUGGUGGCAGCCAACAGGGUUUCGGAAUUCUGAAUAAAAAGAGGCGGGAACAAAGCCUGCGAGCCAUAGUUCGCUACAAGGCGGCAAAGCUAAUGCAAACCUAAAUAUAAAACAAUAUGGUUUUUAUCAAAUGGUUCGGGUUAUCCAAUUCUGCUUAAGCAGCUUUGACUGUUUGACAAUGUGAAUUUUUUUUCGGGUCAGACUGAUGUGAUCCGAAUUAAAAUUUUAAUAAUAAUUCACUUUAAUUACAAAAUAUUUUUGGAAUUUUAUUUUUUUUAGAAUAAUAAAAUUAAAAUUUUAAUAAUAAUUCACUUUAAUUAAAAAAUAUUUUUGGAAUUUUAUUUUUUUAGAAUAAUAAAAAAAAUUAUUUAAAUUAAACUGAAGAUCCCGAGAAAAGAAUUUUAAAUUAAAAUAAUUAAACCGAUCGAUUUUCUUAUUAAAUGGGGUCAAGUUCGUUUAACUUAAACUUAUUUAUCGGUCAAACUAUUCCUUUAAGCUUGAAAGUCUAUCUAAAAUUUAGAAGAAUUUGAACAAAAAGAAAAUAUUGAAAUUAACUUGAAUGAGCUCGAAUAAAUAUUUUUGAAGAUUUAACCUAACUCAAAAACAUGUUUUAAUUCAAAAGUUAAUAAAUUAACUUAAUUCAAAUUUUAAUGUUUUUAUUUUAAAAUUUCAAUUUAACUUUUUUUACUAAAAUUUUGGACAAGAAAAUAUUGAUAAAAUUACAAAUUUAAGUUUAUUUUGGGUAUUCAUUUAGAUAAAAUAUCUAAAAAUAAUUAUCAUUUUUUACAAUAAUAGUAACAAACAUUUGUUUUUGCUUUUUCCUUUAUAUUUAUUUUCCUUUUUAACUUGAUAUAAUUUUGGUUUCAAUAACUUGCUUUUAUUUAAUAUUAAAAUUAAAAAAAAAGAACAAAUAAAAACAAGUACUAGUGAGAUAAUUUUUAAAAUAUAUAUUAAUAAAAAUUAAUGAUGCUCUAACUAUUUUUUUUUUAAGUAUUCAAGACCAAUGUAUAUUUGAUCAUAUGUAUGAAGUAUAGACCAUUCAUAAAUCCUUCAAGUCUAAUAAGUUUUAACUUAAUUGGUAUUGAUAUUGUAGAGAGCAGGCCUAUGAGUAGUUCUAAAUAGUGUAAAAAAGAGUAGAUAUAAUCAAAAACUUAUAAUGAAAUUGUUCAAAAUAAAAUCCUCCAAACAUAAGAAAAAACUUAAAAACUUAAACAAACUCAUAUAUCAAGCACAUACAUGUACCCGAGACCAAAUCCGCUUUGGCUCCAUUGCCAAAUAGUCCAGAGAAGAUCUUCAAGUAGUUUAUAAAGUAGAAUUUUUCAUGAUUGAAAUGAUUUUCCAUGCAAGUUUUUCGUCAGCCACUGACCAAUUACAACAAAAGAACACUGAUUCCGAACCAUUCUGAAGACUACUAGAUAAUCUAUGAGGACAAUUAUCCGACGAACAAACAGAUACACGGAAUGAUUCUACUUGAAGUUCUUCCCCUAAAUCCAGUAUGUUACCUUCGGAAAGUUCAUCCGAUAGUAUCAUUGAUAAUCGACUAAUCAAAGUGCUUUUGUCAAAACCGCAGAGCAUAUGGGAAGUGGAAGAGAGGUCUUCGGUUCGGGCCAUAGGCAUUGGGAUACAAUAAGCAAACUGAAUCUCAUGCUUUUUUUCUCCCAACAUAUGUAGAAUCUCAUCUUGGUGUAUAACUUUUGCCUUUUUGCCUUUUUCGACUACUAAGAUACCUUCUGUAGCUCUAUCAUCACUUACGGAAAGCCUUGAAACGGCCUUUGAUUUGUUUGAAUCCAAAUAAGAUUUAUCGGUUGAACUACGUGUUGAGAACUUGAAGUUUGGGUUCAAGCAACUUCGGAUAAAGGUACCUGAAGCAUCUGCUUUCACAUAGUGUGUCGAAGGAAUGGUGACUGUUUCAUUGUUUGCGGGACAAUAACACUGGAUCCCAAGUUCAGACUGAAUCCUUUCUUUAAGAGUGGCCAUUUUCGGCUUCUCACCAUGUACAAGUAUAGCAUGUUUGGGUGAGAGAAAUUUGACAAGAUCCAUAAUACCCUUGGCGUCGGUAUGAGGACUGAAAGAUAGCUGAUGAAUCUGCAACACAAAUCAUAUCUUCAGGCUAAUUACAACCAAAAUAUCCAUAUUAAAUAUUCACACCCAAGUCAAAAUAACAUAAAAAACAAUCAGAUUUCCGAACUUAAUAUAAAGGAUACCAAUAAACUUCGGUGCAAUCAAAACUAGAAUAUCAAAAUUACUAAUCAGUGUCGCCUCUCGGUCUUGCCAAAUAAGAGAAAAAACAGUGCAGGCUUUAGGUCAUUCGUAGAUUUCUGAACUUAAAAGACUUUCAUGUUUUUAAUAUUAAAUGCGACAUUACAUUCAAGAAAAUACUAGUUCCCUAUAUUAUAAGACGAGUUCCACUAAAAAGUUUUACGCUCAGCUGCCUUGUAAAAGACUCCUUUUUAUUUUUGUUCAUUAGCUGCUCUUCUUUUUUGGUAAAUCUUUACUCCAAGAGUUACAAAAUAAAAAAGGGGAGGGAUCCAAAACAAAGUCCACAUGCAUAUAAAUGAUUUUCAUUUUUAACUAACGGAGGGGACAGAUUUAAAAGCAGUAAAUUGCAGCAAUGAAAUAAGCUCAAAAAAGGUGAAACAAAAAGUUGAAGAAAAUGAGAUAAGCUUUAGGAGAUGAGAAUCAACCUGGCAUCGCACAUUGAUUUGAGUGUCCUUGUCCAAAUCAAUUUUGGUCGGUUUACCAGACAUUAACUUAUGGCCAAUGGUUCCAGCCACACAAUACCUACAAAAGGAGAAAAAUGAGAGUAAUAGAAACUCAAACAAACAUAAUUCUAAUGUGCAUAAUGCCUCUCAAGUAAGAAGGAACCGCAUGUGCACAUAAACACGGGAUAGACCAAUGUGUAUUACCAGAAGUACCCGUGUCCAACACAUUUCAAGGCAUGGGUAUUGGGAUAUGAAAAAAUAUACUCGUGUCAGACACAUACUUGUAUUCAGAACUCACAACCAAGUCCAAAUAACAUAGAUUUUUAUUCUCUUUAAAUGAGUUACAGUGGUUAAAUAUGAUAUUCAAACUAUUUAUAUGUUUCAUCUUAUAGAAGUAACAAUACUAGCAGCCAUUUAGGAUAUAUAUGCUUGAUAACGUAUAAGAAGGCCAUACCCAGGCAACGUCACAAGAUUGUUUUCUGAAGGCGCCCACUGCAUAAAAACCUCGAGUGAAAACCCACCAACAAUCAUACCAGGUGUAGCAAAGAGAACACAAGGUCCAGGAGCAUUUAUCAAAGAACGGUCAAAAUUCCGAACUGCAAUAGAUAGGCGCAGAAGAGUAGCAGAUGAAAUAUUAUCAUAAAAGAGAAGCAGUACCAACAACUCUACAAAUAAAUAGCUCAAGCAACUUUCAAUUUCCCUAAAAUCUCCAAGUUCUAUGAUUCUGCCUCUUCAAUUCCAGAAUUUUGAAAGGGAAACAAAUUCAAUCAAGAUUUCAAAUCAAACUAACAGCAUUAUUGACAGAAACUAAACAAAGUCAAAUAUCUUCAAUAGUAUUCCAAAUAUUCUAGAUUAACUACUAAAGAGCUUACUUACACAUGAUAGUCAUCCAAAAUGCAGCAUAGAAGGACCUAAUUGGAGGAUUAAAACUAUUAAAGGGUUUUAUUGUUACUUUCUUAUGCUUUAUGAGUUUCAUGGUAAUUUAUAUAUGUUGAGGGUCGGUUGGCUCCUUUGGAAGAAGUCAUCGAAAUGUCAUCCGCCAGGCAGCCAACCCGGUCCCCCAACAACCGAAGGUAUUGUCCCCAGCCUCCGCAAAGAGUUGUGUACAGUUUGCGGAGAUAAGUGGGCUAUAAGCCUCAAGUUGGUGGUUCAAGUUGCACUGUGCUCAGGUUGCUCAAUAAUUAUUCACACAACCAAUACUAACACCUCUCCCAAGUCUUGCAGGUACCACCAACUGAGGCACCCCCCUCAAUGAACCAUACAUGGCUCUCCAUGGAGGCUAGGGACAAAACCCUGACAUAGGGACAAUACCUUCGGUUGUUAGGGGACCAGGUCAACUGCCUAGCAGAUGACACUUCAAAAACUUCUCCCGAAGGAGCCAACCGACCCUCAACACACUCAGAUCUAUUUUCUGUCCCUAACUGCCAAUUAACUCCAAUGUAUAUAGAAACUGCUCAAAAAUGAAACCUAGCAAUGGCAGGAGCAAGGAAAUAAGUAACUGCUGCCACUCUUUAAUCAUUAUUUAAGCAAGCUUUGUACCAUUUUUAAAAUCAAAUGCAUUAUGUGUGGCGUACGUCUCCUUGAUCUUCUGGCUCGUCCAGUUAAUAAGCAUUUUAUAAUACAUAUUGGCUUGGAUUGUCAAACCUGAAACAUGAUGAAUCCAACUUAUCACCAUAAUAUGUAGUUAAUCUUCACCCAGAUCACCACAAUAUAGACUAAACAAAUGUAAGGUUCCACUGCUAUAAAAUAAGCCAAUAAAAAAGAAGAAGAAAAUCAAUGAUGCAAAAUGUUAAACACUAAAGAUGGAUCAAACCUGCUGAGAAGUAGAUAGGAACUUUUAGAUUCAUCCGUUCCCAGUAAUCUUCCAACAAUAUACAAAGUUCCUAUGUGAUGAUAUUAAUACAAAAUUGAAUAUUAAUCUAGAAAUCAAGUUAUACGGUAUCAAAAUAUUCAACAUGAAGGCAUCUAUGACUAGUCAACAGUAUAACAGUUACAAAUAACAAUAAGCAGCUUGAAUUGGAAUACUAUUUUUUUAAAAGAAACAGAGAUUGGCUGAGAAUUAUUGACUCCUUAAUAAAUCAACAAGAGUUAAAAAAUUAAAAGAAAACUGAUUUGAUAGAGUGAAUUGUUUGAACUUGUUUCCCUCAUGCUUAGUAGUCAUUUAAUAAUAUGGGAACUUUGAACAACUACUGGUCGGAUAAUUUUGGUUGCACGGCAAAUAUUUAUACUGCAGAAAAAUUAAGGAAAAGUGUGGAAAACAGAAAAUAGGAUUAUAGGAAAUGAUGAGCAUACAAUUAAACUUUACAGGCAGAAGCAAUUUUAUGUAGUUUUAUUUAUAGAAAAAGAACCCUUAAAUGCCAAGAAAAAAAAAUCUAAACAAAGUCAGUACAAGGAGGUCAAUAUAGGGAAAUAAUAUAUCUUAUGAUCCUAUUAUGAAUGAAAUCCAUAAAUGCGGCAGCUUUAAAUUCACAUAAAGGUUUGUCGUACAAAUUUAGAACUUAAUAAGCUACCUCAUUUUGUCUAGCGCCAAACAUAGUUAAGAUGCCCCCAGUAAUUAGAACUUUUGCUAACUAAAUAAUUUUAUUAGCUAAACAAAACAUAGCUACAACACAUAUAUAUUAUAUAUAAGAUCAACAGUAAUACCUGAGCUCUUCCUAGAGCAAAAGUAGGAAUAAGCACUUUUCCUCCAGCAGCAACACAAUUAUGAACCUGAAAUGAAUCACCACCAAACACCAAUGCCCCCCCCCCCAAAAAAAAAAAAGAUAAAAGGAAGAAAAUCAUUCCAGUAGGGUGUAACUUUAAAAUAAAAAGCACAUACAUAACCAAAUAUCUUCAUUCAUGAAAGUUGGAAGUACUAAAAUAAGGAAUCUUCACAGAAAACACACACAGGUAAAAUGAAACCAUCAUACUUUAACAUUUCUCUCUCUCUCUCUCUCUCUCUCUCUCUAGUCAAUCACCAAUAAAGUUUCUAGAACAAAUUUAAUAAUGCAUCUAAGAGAAUUCAGUUACCUAUUCCUAAUCAUCAGAACUUAAGCAACUAUCACCACUGUAUUCAAAACAGAAUUUCCUCCCCCACCCCCUCUUCCCUCAAAAAGGAACAAUUAAAAUAAAGUAAAUACUAUCAAGAUAACAUAGAAGAUAAUGCAAGAUAACAUGUAGAAGCAAACUGCAUGUGGACUAGAUACUCUAACUGCAGCAGGAGCAAGUAAAUAGUCACAAUGCGCAAAAGCAAAUUAAUUUUCAGGAAGUAGUGUAUACACAAGAGGUAUAAAUGAAGCCAAAAAAAUAGCCUGAAAUUGUGAAAGUAGUGUAUACAUACAGCUUUAAGGAACUCCCUUUCUCGCCCAUAUCUUGAAUCACGUAUGGUUGUUGCAUAAGUAGACCUGUUAUAGAAAUACUAUUAUGAACGUUUGCAUCACGCACUAAUAACCAGACUUCACUUGUUAAUAAAACCAAAGAUAAAUAUAAUAUGUGUAUAACAUUCAUACUCUGUUAUGAGAAGAUCCAACUGUAGUCUAUCAAUCUGAGCUGCCCCAAGAUGUCUAUCUGGCGUCAUAUUAUAAUCUCCUGUGUACACCAUAGCAGCAUCUCCCACCUUCGCAUAAAACAUUGCUGCCCCAAUAACCUUAGAACAACCAAAGAGAAUGAAAAACGUGUAUAUCCAUACAGUAAAAACUGGUAAAUACAUCUUGAUACCCAUAACUGGUAAAUACAUCCGAAAAAAGUAUCCAUUAAAAAAGGAGAUACCAAGUUCCUUUGUUCACCGUAAGUCCUCAGUAUUUAUAUUUUAUCUCCGGUUUCAUUAAUAAGUGAAAGUUUGGUUGUGGUGCAUGAUGCUCUGAAAGUUUAUAUGAUUGGAUUGAACCAUUCAAUGCCAAGACUGAAGUCAAGGUCAGGCCAGACUUUACUACUUGGUCCUAGAUUGCUCCUCUCAAACUAAAUGCUGCUCCUAAUAAUUUGCAAAGAUUUACUCAUAUGACUCCCAUAAAACAGAAAAUACAAUUACUUCAAGGAACAAAAACAACAGACCAUACAGGAUUAAUAUUCACAAAGUUCUCUUCUAGACAACCAUGCCACAUCAAAAAAGAACUACUGCCAUGCAAUUCAUUUGUCUAAUGGGCUACAAAGCACUCAAUGAGUUUAACUCAACCAGUGGUCCAACAUUAUUCAAUCAAUUCUUCCACAGCCCUCUUAUGACCAAAGAGCUAGGUAGCUCUGUCAAAGCAGAUGAAGUUUAACGGACACACAUAGCAAAUCUCCAAUGAUAAAUGUGCACCUUUCGUAUACUAAUGGAUAACAUGUAUAAGCACUACAAAAAUGAAACAGGACUAAUAAAAAGACAUGCUUUAGAACUGAACUUAAAAUGCUUACAUGUCCUGCAUAGUAGGCACGGAUUUGAAGAUCUUUAUCAACCUGCACAGUCUGCUUCAAAUCCACCGGUAUAACUGUAAUAAGGGAUCAGAUCAGAGUAAAAUAAAAAUGAUAACCUCAGACAGGAUACUUCAAGCAAUGAAUAAAAACUCGAAAGUUGGUCUUGCAUAGAAAUAUAUUUGUGAAUAUGAAAGAAACCUAGAUCAUAUAUUUAGGAAAUCUUCACAAUUCUAUUUUACUCGUUAGUCCAUAGAAGGUUCCGAUCUAAAUUUGAAAUUGUGAAACUUCAAAUAAAAUUAUAUAGAUGAUAAAUAGGUUCAAGUUUACCAGUUUUCUAAUCUACUAUUUAGAGCAUGUAAAUUCAGGAAGCUAAUAAUGAUCAGAGAUCACUAGUGUAAUGCUACUCAAGGAGAAGUCCUAAUGUCCAAAAAAUAAACUGAUAUCAUGCUUGAGUGCAUUUUCAGAGUAGUUAAUGUUCUGUUGUAGCUUGGUAACAAAUACAACAUGCAGUAUGGAACAUUAUCUGGAUCUAUCGUCAUUAAAAUGAUUGUCAUGAAGAUUGGAGAGGGUUCCAUGUUCUAAAAAUAGCAGAGUUAUGCAAAUGAUUCUUUUCAAAUUCUUUCCUUUUUUUUUAAAGAAAAAAAAAAGCAUCUGCACUAACUGAGCAAAAGAAAUGGAAAUUUAAGUACCCUUUUUCAUGCAUUCUGCAAUAUGAUCAGAAGUAAACUGUUCGUCCUCGCCCCUUCGGUCCAUAUUCUUUCUGUAGUCCUCCAACAUCAAAGGGGCCAAUGCUUUUGUCGGAUACUACCAAUACAAAGAAACGUCAUAAAAAAAAAGUAAAAUCAAAACAAUAAUUAUAAUAAAUACCCCAAGUGAGACAUUUCAUCAAAUGCAUAGACAAAGAGAAGUUACAGUCAUGUAAAUUGGACCCUUAUAACCGCAAACUUCAGUGAAAUAAGGAAGUGCUCCAAUAUGAUCCAAAUGACUGAAAAAAAAAAUUCAUCAAAAAGCCAAUCCAAUAAAUUAUCAACUGAAACAAACAAAGAGUAAACCGAAUGAAAGAAUACAAGUGAGUAACAAUGACACAGGUGAGAGCAUUAUCGAAAUCUCCAGUCUUAGAAAUGAGAGAGAAAUCUGGGUAUCGGCGAGAAUCAGUGUAUCCCAUAUGCAUCCCACAGUCGAACAUGAUUCGCUUGCCAUUUAUCGAGACCACCAUGCAGCUUUUCCCAACUUCUUGGCCUGCCCCUGAAAAUUUAAAAAAGAAAAAAGAAAAAAAAAUCCAUUUGUAUGUGAAAAGAACAAAAACAAAAAUGGGAAUUCAUGAAAUGGGAAAAUUAAAAAUUGGGUAGUGUUUAGAAGUUACCAAGGACGAGGCAAUCGAUCGCCAUGAUUGGAGUUAAUCGAGUUCAAAGUUCGAAGACUUGAAAAUUACUUGGUUGGCACGCUUUCCUGCAAUUAGCAAUGCAUUUUGGCGGGUGAAGAUUUUGUAUUAUUUUUUUUCCAUAAACUACAACAGUCCCUAAACUUAGUUUAAAAUUAAGUUUCGGUCAUUCAACAUUCAAAAGUUACCUAAUCCAAAGUUACGAGCUAAACAAAUAACUAGUGGCAUCUUAACAUGCAUUCAUGAGAUAAAAUUAGAGAAAAUGACAUUUUACACGUAAAUGAAUAGAAACACUUUCUGUCAAUACUUUCUACAUACACAUUGACUACAUUGCAUCUUUGCACCUAAUUCUAUAACAAAUAACUAAUGGCUUCUUCACAUACAUUCACAAGACAAAAUUUGGUUAAAACUGAUAUUUUACAUGUAAAUGAAUAGUAUCAAUCGAUUUAAAAAGAAAAAAGCAAGAAUCUUCUUUUGAAAAUUUGGGUAAAACCCACCAUUAAUAUGACCUGUAGAAGAGCUUAGCAAUGGGUUUAAAGGAGAUACUGACCUGCAAACAAAUUGGUUUCGUUUUCUUUUUCUCAUUUAAAUCUCAGAUUUUCAAGAGAAAAUCAAAUAUUGAAAGUGAAAUGAAAUUUGACCUUGAAAAAGGAGGCGGGAUUCUGAAGGGAACAAAGCCUGCGAGCCAUCGUUUGCAAUAAGGCGGCAAAGCUAAUGCAAACCGAAAACAUAAAACAAUCAAAUGGAUCGGGUUAUCCAUCCGAUCCGACCUUUGCCUGAUCCGAAUUGAAAUUUUAAUAAUGAUAAUAAUAAAUAAAUACAAUUUAAUUUUAUAUUUUAAUAUUUUGUGAUUUUUAAAAGGAAAAUUUUCUUAUUUAUACAUCAACUUUGGUAUAACAUGAACUUUAAUUGGAGAAAUAAUAAAUUUAGUCCUCAAUAUUUUAUGCGUUUUUUAAUUUACAUUUUUGGUAUUUUUAUAAUUAAUUUUUUAUUUUUUGAAGUUUUAAAUUUAUAGUUUUUUAUUUUAUUUCUAGAAUAGGAUCAAUUUGAUUAAUUGUUCAAAUUUUGUGAGUAAAACUUGUUGAAUUUUUUAUAAUUAGGAUUAAUUUGACAUAAUUUAGAAAAUGUUAAUAACUAAAUUUGUUAUUUAACCAAUCAAAAGAUGGCCAUGUCUGCAUUCUGUCUGGUGACCUAAAGUAUUUAAUGAUAAAAUGACUAAAGCUUACAACUUAUGAGUGAUUAAAAUAACGAUUUUUUUUAAAUGGGUGAAUAAAGUAAGAAUGUGAAUAAACUCGGUGACUAAGUAGUUUAUCCUAAAUUUUAACUUAAACUACUAAUGAGAUAAUGAUUGGUCUAAGAUCGAGGGUUAAAUUUUUAGCUUUUAAAGUAUAGGAAUUAAAUCUUAAAACUUGUCAAAAUACAAGGACUAAUAAAAUAUCUUGACCAAUAAAAUUAUUAUAAAUGUGUUAUUUUUAAAUAUAUAUGUAUAUAAAAUAUUUAAAAGAAAAUCAAUGGAAUAUUGAUUUUUUUAUAACAUGAUUCUCAACUUUCCUAUUUAUAUGAAGGAACAUAUAUGUAUUUAGCACGGGUUUUGAUCCAUGACCCGUAAUAAUAGAGUCUCAAAUUUGUUUUAAUUUAAUUAUGAUAAUAAAUAGGUUAAUUACACUGCACCUCUUCCAAAUUUAAAUCAAUCUCAAACUUUGAAAUACUCUAUUUGAGUCCUUAAAAUAUUAAUAUCAUAUUAAUUAAGUCUUUUGGUGCAUCUAAGCUUCAAAUUGGACAUUAAAUGUUAGUUUCAAUACGAUAUAAAUAAUAUUUAAAUCAUGUGAAACAAAAUUUAAAUAUAUCUAUAUAUUAAACUCUUAUUAAAUUGGUGUUUCGAGUUAAUUGAACAUCAACUCGGUUGGGUGAUUACCAAAAUAUUACUUUUUACAAUAUAAUUUAUAUUAUUUUGAAUGUAUUUAUACUAUAUACUAAACCCUCAAUUAAAUUUGUGUCACGAAUCAAUUAAAUAGUAACUUAAAUGAAUAAUGAUUAAAAUAUCAUUUUUCACAAAGUAAAAUUUUUUAAUAUUUAUAUAAGAGCAAUGAAAAGAAUCCAUAAAUGAUAGGAUUUGAACUUACGACGUGACGAUUUUCAAAAUUUUAAAUUUACUAUUUCAAUUUAAAAACAUGAAAAAAAAAACAAACUAAAUGAUACAUUUGUAUCGACAUUUGUUACUUUAUAAAAUAUAAGGUUGUUUUGUUCCCUAAAAAAAAUAAUAUUUUGGUAAUUUUCCAGUUAAAUUGAUAUUGAGUCGACUUGUAACACCAAUUAAGUCAAUGAUUUAAUAUUAGUAUAAAUAAAUAAUUAAAAUAAAGUAUUAAAAUAAAGUUGGUGAUAUGACACAUUUAGAGGUACAGUUGAAUUGAACUAAGUUAAAAUACUAUCAAGCUCGACUCGAAUUUUGAAGCUCGAUAUUGGGCUUGAUUGACCAUCUAUUUUUAGGCUCGAGAUAUAAUUGAGUUAAUCGAGCUUAAGUUCAAUUAAACUCAUUUAUCAAUUUUUAUACUCAAGCGAGAAGUCAAGUUUGAGCUUAAUUCAAUAAUUGAGUUUAAAGUUAAAGAUAAUGACGUAAUUUAACAAUAUAAAAAUAUGAAAAACUUGACAAGAUUCAUAGGUCAUUCUAAUAGAAUAUUAUUUAGUUCGAAUUCGGCUUAAUCUAUAACUUGAGUUGCUUAAACUUAACUCAAUAAUUACAAAAUUAAUUUAAAAAUAUUUACGAUAAACAAGAGUCAAAUUUGAUGAAUUUUGACUUAAGCAACUAAUUAUCUGAUUUAAUUUGACUUAAGUAACUAAUUAUCUGAUUUAAUUUGACUUAAUUAUCCACAAAAAAAUUGGGAUUUGAAUUUAAUAGAAUUUUGUUUUAAAAUUUAAAAUUAAUAAUAGUAAUUAUUUAAUUCAAGAAAGUAAUAAUUAUUAUUUUAAAAAAUAGACUAUUUUAAUAUUGGGUAAACUUCACUAAUAGUCAUUCGAUAAUUAAUAAAUUUAUUUUUUGGUCACCUAACUAUGAAAAAUUACAAAAUAGGCAUCUAAUUUUUCAAAUGUCUUUUUUGUCAUACAGUGGCUUUUUAAAAUUGGCACAGUUGUAACUUUAACCUUCAACAUUUAUAUAUUAUGUUAAUUUAAUCAUGAUUCAAAAAAUCUAACUCUCAACAUUUACACAUUAUGUAAUUUGAUAUUUUUUGCAAUUUUACUUUCAUUCGUGACAUUUUCACCUAAAAAGUUAAAAAAAAACUCUCAAUGUAAAAAAAAAAGAAGAAGAAGCAAAACUGCAAAAAAAAUCUAAUUACACAAUAUGUAAAUAUUAAUGGUUAAAUUUUAUUAGAGUCAAGACUAAAUUGAUAUGAUUUAUAAAUGUUGAGGGAUGAAGUUACUAUUAUAUCAAUUUUAAAAGUUGCCACUUCUAAGAAGAUGGUGAUCGAAAAAGGAAAAAUUGAAUAGUUGAGUGACUAUUUUAUAACUUUUCAUACUCUAGUGAGUAAAAAGAAAUUUAGUGACAGUUAAAUGACCAUUUUAUAUUUUUUUAUAGUUAAGUAGCAAAAAGAAAAAUUCACUAAUAGUCAGUGACUACUGGUGUAGUUUAACCUUUAAUUUUUUAGGACUUUCUCUUCAGUGUCACUGUAAACCGGAUUUAAAUCCACAAAUUAGAGAGAGAAAGAUAGAAAUGUACUAUUAUUCCCCCCCCCUCACAGAGCUCACUCUCUAUAAAUAUAUCAAAAUAUGUUCAAAUCAGCUAGAUUUCAACUGAGUUUGAAACCCUAGCAUUUGGAUCCAUUUCGAGUUGUAGAUGUGAAGCGAACUUUUCUCUUUGAACACAUAUUUCUUUUUUUGGUUGCAUUUUGUGCUGUAAAGUGGUGCGACUAAGUGUUUGGAUCGGAGAUGGAAGAGGUUGCCGGCGAAGCGGCGGAGGUAAGAACCAACGUGAGGAGUGAGUCGCCAAUGAGGAUGACGUCGGCCACCACGGCGGGUGUUCCUCCGUCGUUGACGGUCUCGGCGUCGUUUAGAGAGAGUGGAGGCAAAGGCUCGUCGAGGAGGAGAGGUGUUAGACCUAGCUUCGACGCCGAUAAUGAUUUUGUUCCGUUUCUUCACGGGUCGGAUCCAGUGAAGCUGGAGCUUACCAGAUUGGAGAAUGAAGUUAGAGGUGAUGAAUGCGGAUCGAUCUAGGUGUUUUUCGCCUUGAUUCGGUUAAAUUUGACUGCGUUUUACUGCUUUUUUUUUAUAAAUAUUAUCUGUUAUUUUAUUUUGAUAUUAUCCUCUUUGUUUUUGGAUUGGAUUACAGAUAAAGAUAGAGAAUUGGGAGAAGCACAAGCGGAAAUUAAGGCAUUAAGAAUGUCUGAAAGGCUAAGAGAAAAGGCUUGCGAAGAGGUUGGUUAUUUGUUUAUUUAUUUAAAUAUUAUUGGGCUUUAGUUUAUGUUAGAAAUUAAAUUGUACUGAUAGGUGAAGCGUUUUAGGAAUAGUCGAAAUUAAAACAGUAAUUAUUUAGAUUUUUUUAAAAAAAAUCUGAUGUUAAGGAUAGAUGUCUGAUCUUAGUGGAAUGUCCGCCUCUUUUUUUUUUCAUUAACGGAUUUGAGUUUAGGGGCAAAUUUAAGGUCUCUUUGACGUUAGAGAUUAUAUUACUGUUAUAGAAAUAAUAAAUUGAUAGAAGAUGGGUUGUCUACUCUCUGUAUUUUUGUGUGUAUUGUUAGGGGAGAGCAAAACUCGGUCAAAAUCAACUUAACCAACCUAACACUGUUUGGUUUAAUCGGUUUGGUUAGUUUGGUUUCGGUCUAUGUCUGUUAAAAAAAUCAGUUAUGUUACAUAUAAAACCGAAUCAAACAGAUUAGCCUAUUUAAUAUAAAUAUAAAUGAAAUAUAGUAAUAAUAUAUAAUAUGAAUUAAAAAUGCAGUAUUGUUAUGUUACCGUGGAAAAGUAGAUUUUUCUGAUUCUUGGAAAGUUGUUUCUAGUCUUUGAUGAUAAAGCUUACUGAAAUACAUCAUGCAUUGGUUACUUGGACUUGGUUGUGCCCCGUAUGUUCAAUUUUUUAAAGAUUUUCACAUAAUCUAGAACUUGUUUCAUGGUUUUCCUAUUACAUUAAUUGUUCUUUGUUAACCUUUUCCCCCCCAUAUUUAUCUACCGCGGUUUAGGGUUUGCUCUCAUGAUUAAAUGGAUUGUUUUGAUGUCUUGAAAUUCAGAUGGUUAAUAGACCUCCUUGUUUAAUGACUUACUAUUUCUGCAUAUAAACGUGUGGUCCGUAGUUUUGUUCCAAAAAAACAUAUUAUCUUUAUGUAAUUUACAACUCUUCUAUGCAGAUCAGGGCUCUUGCAUCUAAGACUGUAGUUAUGAAACUUUUUGCAGUGGUUUUAUAUACGAUCUUAUGACUGUUCGCCUUAUUGGACAGAUUUGAGAUGUGGUUUUACUUGGACUUCUUGAUUGAGAUGGAACUGACUGUUUUUAUUCUUCUUUUGUACCAUAGCUCGGUGACGAGCUCUCAAAAAUGGAUGGGAAGCUUAAAUUGACAGAAUCUCUUCUUGAAAGCAAGGUAUUGGUUUCAAUUCCUUUCAACCCUUAUUAUUUUUUCUUUUGUCGUGCUUCUAAAUUUAGUUAAUAAAUAUGUUCCACAGAACCUUGAAAUCAAGAAAAUAAAUGAUGAGAAGAAGGCAGCCAUGGCUGCUCAGUUUGCAGCUGAGGCCACUCUGCGGAGGGUUCAUGCUGCUCAAAAGGACGAUGAUAUGCCUCCAAUUGAAGCAAUUCUUGCACCCUUGGAGGCUGAGCUGAAGCUUGCUCGGCAAGAGGUAUUUAUAUGUCUUUUUAACCUUUGUUGCUCUGACUUUUCAUUUUUAUGGAAAUACCCAUGUCCAGCAUUCCUUUUAGAUAAAUGAAUAUGGAGAUAUUAUGACCUCCAAGGAUCUUCCUAAUACAUAAAAAACGAAACAUAGAAAAAUCUAACCUCAUCCGUGUUAGACACACAUGUGUGCCAGACCGUGACAUCUGAGUCCGAGUAACAUAGUUUUCAACUGUUGGUUCUGUCUAUAGAGAGAAGUGGAGAAGGAUCUCUAAACUUGUAUGUGAUUGAUUAUUUUCUUACUGGUUAUUUCUUUCGUUUUUUGUAGAUUGCAAAACUUCAAGAUGAUAAUAAAGCGCUUGAUCGUCUAACUAAAUCAAAAGAAGCAGCUUUACUUGAAGCCGAAAGGACUGUUCAGGUUGCAUUGGCCAAAGCGUCCAUGGUGGAUGAUCUCCAAAAUAAAAACCAGGAGUUGAUGAAGCAGAUAGAAAUUUGUCAGGUAUUCCGAUCAUUUUUUAUGUUUCCUGUUCUCAGGUCCAUAUAUUUUUGGCUUAGUCCGUUUAAGCGUAUAAUGAAGAAAGUCACUUGUUUACAAUUUGUCUAUGGUAGGAAGAAAACAAAAUUUUGGACAAAAUGCAUCGCCAAAAGGUUGCAGAGGUUGAAAAGCUUACACAAACCGUAAAAGAGCUGGAAGAGGCUGUUCUUGCUGGUGGUGCUGCUGCAAAUGCAGUUCGGGAUUAUCAACGGAAAGUUCAGGAGAUGAAUGUAAUGCCUGGAUUUUAUAUGUCCAAGUUUGCUUGAUUCCUUUUUGUUGGUAUUGUCCUAAAUCUCUUCUUGAAAUGAAUGAUUUGUGUUUAUGUUCCUUAGGAGGAAAGAAAAACUCUUGAUCGAGAACUGGCACGUGCGAAAGUAACCGCUAAUAGAGUGGCCACAGUUGUAGCAAAUGAGUGGAAAGAUGCUAAUGACAAAGUGAUGCCUGUGAAACAAUGGCUUGAAGAGCGGAGAUUCUUGCAGGUUUUUGCAGACGGUUUCUCCCAUUGAAUAAAACUACAAGAUGUUGCCUUAAUACUUUCUAUUCAUUGUGGACUUUAUUUCUUCCAGGGAGAAAUGCAGCAACUUCGUGACAAGCUUGCUAUAACCGAGCGAGCUGCAAAAUCUGAAGCACAGUUGAAAGUAAUAAUCUGAUUGUGACUUCACCAUUCUGUUAUUUAUGACGUUGCUGUUGGUUUCGAAAUUAGAGCUUUUGUUUGAUUUUCCAGGAGAAAUAUCAAUUGCGGCUUAGAGUUCUAGAAGAGAACUUGAGAGGAUCUUCUAACAGCUUUAGUCGCAGUACUUCAGUUGGAAGAAGCACGAGCAAUGGGCCUUCCAGGCGCCAAUCACUUGGUGGAGCUGAGAACUUCUCAAAGAUUUCUUCCAAUGGGUUUUUACCCAAGAGAUCACCGAGCUCUCAAUUGAGAUCCUCUUUGUCUUCUAGUACUGUGUUGAAGCAUGCGAAAGGAACAUCUAAGUCAUUUGAUGGAGGCACGAGAUCAUUAGACAGGGCUAAAGUGCUUUUAAAUGGAGCAGCCUCAAAUGUUUCAGUAAACCAUCCUUCUGAGGGGAUCAAGGAGAGUGAGUCACCGAGUAGUGAAAAAUCGAAUGAUUUCCAGCCAGUAGACACUGAGGACAAUGUUCCAGGAGUUUUGUACGAUUUGCUGCAGAAAGAGGUCAUAGCAUUGAGGAAAGCUGGUCACGAGAAAGAUCAAAGUCUUAAAGAUAAAGAUGAUGCGAUUGAGGUAGAUGCAUUUGCUCUUUCAAGCCAAUACCAUUUUUAAUUUAUCAUUCCAGAUAAAUACUGUAGUAAUCCUUGUAUCUUUCAGAUGCUUGCUAAGAAGGUCGAAACAUUGACAAAGGCAAUGGAAGUUGAGGCUAAAAAGAUGAGAAGAGAAGUUGCAGCUAUGGAAAAAGAGGUUGCUGCCAUGCGUGUGGAGAAAGAACACGAGAAUAAGGCCAAGCGGUUAGCUAACUCCAAGGGAUCGGCUGCUCAGCUGCUUACUGGAAGGUGCUUUUAUUGUUUAUAUCUUUGUUUAGAUUUUUAUACUCUUCAUUUUCCUUUAGGUAAAAGUAUUAGGAGUCGCAUUGCAUUUUACACCUUUUACUCAAAAAUAGGCAAAUUAGCUCUUGUAUGUUAGAUCAAAAAGCAAACUGGUCCUAUUAAAAAUUCUAUCAAUUUUUACUGUUAAAAACUGGUCGUUGUAUGUUAGCAUAAGUUAAAAACUGGUCUUUGUAUGUUAGCAUAAGGUACACAUGGCAUGUCACAUGUCAUGCCGGUUUUUAAUAACACAAAUGGAUAAAAUUUUUACUAGAAAGGACCAAUUUGUUCUUUGAUAUAACAUACAAGGAUUAAUUUACUCAUUUUUGAGUAGAGGGGACAAAAGGCAAUUUGACUCAUUGUGCAGGGGCUUCCAUGGUACUUUAACCUUUUCCUUUAGUACUAUAAGUUAAAAUUAAUCUCCCUAGUUUGUUGCAUUUGCCCCUUAUAUAUUGCGGAGUUAGCAGCCAUGGUAUGACCCUAUUUAACUUCUCUUCAUUUUUCUUUAAUUACUUAUGCUUGACAUCCGUGUUAGAUGCAUAUCCAGAUGCUGGUAUGAGGAUAUGACCUCCAAGAACAUAUGAAUCCUAUCUUAGUAAAAGAUACUGGACUCUGUAACCUUGUUGGCUGUUACCCAUUAUGUUGCUUAGGACUAAAUGUAUAUGCUGAUCACAUUAUAUAGGUUUCCCGGGGAUUGUAACACACUUUUGGAUAGUUUACUUUUAAGACUACUGAUGAACUUUCGAAUCAGUUAGAUGUUGAUCUUGGGAUUCAUUUAAAUUUGGUACUUCAAGUCUUUUCUCGUACUCGUGUAUUAUUGUUGGAUACGAGUAUGUAUCUGACAUAGGUAUAUUCAAUUUUUUACAAGUUUUUUCAUGCGUUUGGAAGGGUCAUACACAAGACUUGCUCUAAUAUUUGUCGGAUACAGCUUCAAGUUGUAGUGAUCAGUUUUAAUGGAUCCACUGGUCAUUUCUUUUAAAUUUUCUGCCUAAUUGAUUUCCGAUGACUCUUCCAAGCCUAGAGUCAAGGCCUAUUAUAUAUGAAUGUCACCAUGCUAGUUUAGUUUUCAUUGAUUACAUAUUGAUACUCGAUAUAGCUUACCAAAUUCUCAAAUUUAUGCAGAAAUACAUCUCGAAGUGGGUUAACACGCAGCACUCAAUGACAGCAAAUUUUAAUCGAAGCAUCAACUACAAGGAGUACACAUAAGUCUCCUGGAUCCUUUUACUUUUUAUAAUUUGUUACCUCCUUUGGUGAUUGAUUAUAAAGAUAUUAUAACUUGCAUGCUGAUGAACCUGCGUUCAUUAAAAUUGACCAAUAGAUGAAAUCCGGGGAAAAAAGGGUAAAAUUCGGAUGAAGAAGACAUCGAUUCGGUAUGCUUCUAACAAACUGCUUAUUCCACUUUUUAGAGAUUUAGCCAAAAAAAGAAAAACAGGAAAAAGGAAACUAUUUCUCUGGGCUAACAUUAUGUUAGGUUUUCAUGAGUGGCCAGUGAUUGUGUGGUUGUAUAGGUAGUUUCCUUUUUUUCCCCGGAAUUUCUGCCGUUGUCCCAUUUUCCGUUUUUUGCAUUUCAUAUUUGUAAUCUGCAAUUAGUGUGAUUUGUCUUUCAAGUUUGUUAAUAUUCUUGUAUUGAGAUCUGUUUGGUUGUGUUAUUCAUUAAUAGUUGCUUAUAGAUCUGGAAUGAUUGUUUUUGUUUUUUCUUCGGAUGUUGGAUGCUGUUUUUAAGGGUGAGGUUUUGUUUGGUUGGGUCUUAAAAUUUUAAAAUCCCUACAAAUUUUGCAGAACCGAUCGAUGUAUAAGUGAGAAAUCGAACUAAUCUAAUUAGAAUUAAUCAAUUCGGUUUGACCAGGUUUUUCGGUUUCUCAUUCAUUGUUAGGCUGGAUAAUGAUACCAUUCUAGAAAUCAUUUUAAUAUUUAAGCGUUGGUCAAUGAUGUUUGAACCGGACAAUGUCGGCUGGUUGGAUUGGGAGCCAGCCGGGGUUAUUGAUCCGAAGAAUGGCUUUGAUCCGGUUAAACCGGUAACUGGCAUGGACCGAUUGAAUUGACAGUUGAAUUGGGGUUUUUAUUUUUUAAUUUUUAACCAUUUUUUAAUCGAACCGGUUGGAUUGGUGAAUUGGUGGCUGAACUGGUUCGGUUUAAAAAACAUUUGUGUUGGUUUGUUAAGUUAUUCGAUUUAGAAAAAAAAAAAAAAACUAAAAAUCAACCACACAAUCACGUCCAAAUUAAAAUACAUAUCAAUAAGCAUUCUUGAUAAAAAUUGAUGUCGGAGACUGAGUGCUCAGAUUUAUAUUUAGCUUAGAUCUUUCAAUAUGUCGGUUUUGUCCAAUGUUAUUAUGGUCUAGGUAAGUCAUGAUUGAGCCAUGUUUUUAAUGUUUAUUUUUAUACUUAUACUCCCUCAAUAAAAAAGAAUUACCUUAUCAAAUAAGGUGAAAGUCUAAGAAAUUUCUAUUUUAGUCUUUGUAUUAUUAAAUGGAUCUAUUUAUUCAUUGUGUUAUUAAAUGUGUUAUUAAAUAAAUUAAAAUUAAAAUAGAGUUAAUAUUUACUGUUUAAAAUAAUAUUAUUUAUUAUUUUCUUGUAUAUUUUUGUAAAUGAAAUUUUUGUUUCUUUUAAUUGAAUUGGAAUUGAAAAAAAUAUAUUUUUUAUAAUACAAAUAGUAAUUCUGAUACAGUUUAGAUUUAUUUGAUUGGUUUUAAUAGUAUAAAGAAUAAAUUGAUUUAUUUAAUAAUAGAGGUAUUGGAUAAAAUCAAAUUUAAACAAAUUAAAUUGAUAGAUUGAAUGAACAUCUUAAAAUCAAUUUUUUUAAUUGAAUAAAAUUUGAAACUGAACAAACUAACAUUAUAAUUUGACUAGAUUUUCAAUUUUUUUUGGAUUAUUAUUUAUUUUCUUAAUUUUCCUGCUAGGUAGAAGCUAAGCGGGACUUGAAAGAUUCCCAAUCGAGACCCUUUUCAAUGUAUUUUAUGUUGGAAGGAUCGAAAGGACCUUUGAUUCUAUCAAUGGAGUUUAUCACUGCUCUUUUUGGUAUUACACUCUUUGAUGGAUCUGGUGAUGUCCCAUAGCUCAAACACGAUGAAAACCCCUGCAAUAAUGGCAAAUUUAUAGAGGAAUUAACUACAGAAAUAUAUUUAAAACAUAUUUAAUACACAUGGAUUAGAGUUUAUGCAUAUAGGUGCCUAAUAAGAUGCAUCAAGAAAAAAAAAACUUUAAUAAGUUAAAGUAUCAUGACGAUUUUUGUAUUAGAAAUUAGUAUUUUACUCUAUCUCCUCAAAAAGUUAAUAAAUUAAUCUUUUGAAUGUUAAAUCAAAGAAUAAUUAAUCCUUUAUAUAGUUGAUCGUAUAAUUAGAUUGUGAGACAUAGUAUGCUACAUAUAUUUUAUAUUGACAUAUAAAGAUUAUUUUUUAACAAUAAAAAAUGAAUAAAAUUUUUAAUAGAAAUAUCAAUUUACUUUUUUUUAUCUAAUAUACAUGAAUUAAUUUAUUUAUAUUUUUAAUAAAUGGAUAAAAUGCAUUCGAACCUUUGUACAUGGGUUUUCAUAAUACUUUUAUCACUUAAUCUUGAUCUAUUUCUCCAUUUUGAUAACUAAAAUUUUUCAUCCCACUUUAGAAUUUUAGCAAUCAUUUUCUUCCCGACACGAAUAAGAAUGUAAAAUGUUGCCGGAUGCUAGUAAUUUGGUAGUAAAAUUCGAUGAAAAUGAAGAUUCUAAGUAUCAAAAUGAGAAAAAAAAAUUAAGUACUAAAAGGAGAAAAAAUAUAAUUUAAGAGUCAAAUCAUGAUUUAAGAAAAAAAUUAGUAUACUUUAAUAUCAAUUAGAACGUAUUGAGAUUUAAGACUAAUUUAAAAUCUACAUUAUAAUUUAGACGUAUAUUGAAAUUGAUCCUCAAAAAACAAAAACAAUUAUAAUUUCAUAGACAGACCUUGAAAAUAAGAACCUCAACUUCUUGUUCAUCCACAAGUGCAUGAACAAUAAGAGCUUCUUCUCUAGCGGAUUGGCUAUAAAUUUCGAGCAUUGCGAUCUCUUCGUUAUACCCAUUUUCUUUUUCUUCUUCAUCAUCAUCGUUUUCAUAUCUGAUUCUUCUUCUUGCAGCAGCACAAGAAAUGUUGCAGAACUUAAAAGCUUUAGCGGCAAUGACAAUGGCGGAACGAUUGGUUUUUAAGGAGUUUAUUUCCUUGGGAAAAAUGGGUAUCAUUGGAGGUGUGAGAAUUGUGUAGCCCAUGUUCAUAUAUGUUUCGGCCAUGGUUGAAUUUGAACCAGUGUUCUUCUUCACCUUUGGGAAUUGGAUGGUUUAAAAAGAUAAGGUGGUGGCACUAUCACAGUUUUAACGUGGAUGGUGAGAAUAUCAUAGCCCACGUGCUCUUCAAUCUGUUUUUUAAAGGGCUAAUUUCACUAAAUGUUCUCAGACAAUCAAAAUAUCCUAUUUGAGUCGUCAAAAUUUUAAUAUCGUAUCAACCAGUCUAACCAUUAAUUUUAGCCACGUAGAGACAAAAAUUAAAAAAAUUUUCCGUGAUCAGAUUAAAUUAUAUAUUUUUAUGAGAAUUAAAAUAAAAAUAAAAUUUUUUAAUAAUUUAUAUUUUUAUAAUUUUAAAAUAUUAAAUAAAAUUCUAUUUUUUUUAAAGAUCAAAGUGUAAUUUUAUUUUUAUUAAAUUAAAAUUUUGUAAAAUUUCAAGAAUCAAAAGUGAGAUUUUAUAUUUUAGGGGACUGAGACUCUUGCCAAUACCUUUGACAUCGCUCCUACAUUGAAGGCUAAUGAACAUAUUAAAAUUAAGUUAAUAUGUGCCAUAAGUUGUUUACAUUUUUUAGGAAUUUGGUCCUUAUUUAUUUUAAAUUUCAAAAUUUAGAUUAAUUGUUUAAUUUAAAAUAUUUUAAAGUUUGAUAUAGAAUUUGAUAUUUAAUUAAUAUGAUAAUGAACUUUGGAAAUUUAAUUAGAAUAUUUUAAAAUUUAAUUUAGAUCAAGGGUGAAUAUAGAAGUUAGUAAGGCCUCGGUCCAUUUUGUCCCUUUAAAAUUUUAAAUUAAUAAAGAUAAAAUUACACACUAAUUCUUUAAAAAUGAUAAAAUUUUAAUUUAAUUUUUUAAAAAUUAUAUUUCUACUAUAAUAAAAAUUAUAAUUUAAUUUCAACACCUAAAAUAAUUUAGGGGCUUCCCGGUUUAGAGUUGGAGCUGUUUGUUAUUAACCAUUUUCUUAAAAUAUUCAUAUACAUAUUUAAAUAGGUGAAAUAGUGGUUUUGGUGUCUCAAGUAUGUUAAAAUUUGGACUUAUUCAUUCAUAAUAUUAUCCAAAUAUUUUUAAAUCAUCUUUGAAUAAUUGGUUAACAUGUAAACCUUCUAUUUAACUUUUAAAAUAAAUACUCUUAAGCAUUCAAUUUGCAUGUAACUUUUUUAUAAAAAUUUCGGGUUAAUUGUCAACACAUUAACAAAAGUAAUUGAGGAUUUAAUAAUUUGAAUUAAUUAAAACAUUUUAAAAUUAAAAAAAAUAGAAUAAUAAUAUUAAUUAAUCUCGACCAAUUUUAUUAUUAAAAAAUAUUAUUUUUUAUAUUUAUAAUUAAAUUAAAAUUUUAAAAAAUAAUAUUACAACUCGAUCUAAGAACACUGCUAGCUGUAAACAACUGCUCUUGCAGUAAAAUUUUAGAAUAGUGAUGAAAUUAGAUUAUAAGGACUAAAUCAGUAAGAUUAACAUAGUAUAGGGACUAGUAGAGUGAAUUUCAGUUAUUUUUCUGAUGGAACUGGCGGUUUUCAAUUCUGAUCAAUAAUGGUAUUUCAAUUUCCCAAUUUUUCUCUACUUCAAACCUAAAAUCCCGAUUUUCAAAAAUUCCAGAAAAUUAAAAGUUCAAUAAAAUGGCUGAAAUACCACCGCCAAAACCGAUUUUACCUCAAGAUUGGGAAUCUUUAGUUGAAGAUUUCCAGUACGGCGGUUUCCGCCGCGAGAAAUGGCGGUCCCUGUCCCCUUCCGUCGUCGAACUCGCCCUUUCAUCGAUCCUCAAAAAGGAAUUCCCUUUCAAAAUCCCUCUCGUAAUCUUCCUCGAGGAAUUUUCCGAUCUAUUGUUCCCCCAAGAUCCAUCACUCGCUUCCCUUAUGGACCGCCUCGUCGAAACCCUACGCGCCGUUGUCCAAUCCCCGACCGACGGUGUCCAUGUCACUUACGCAUUGAAAGAACAGAUGAUGGUUUCGACGACCUCGAUUUUGAUCUCUACCAACUCAGUCGAGUCCGUCGAGGUUCGGUUUACGGAAUCCGUCGUCGAACUUUUAUUAGCGGUUAUAAACCGGCCGAACCAUGGACCGGACCGCCACGCACGUGCCACUGCUUGUGAGUGUCUACGUGAGUUGGAGAAAGCUUACCCUUGUUUACUCUCUGAUAUUGCUGGUCAUUUAUGGAGCUUAUGCCAAAGCGAACGAACCCAUGCUUCGCAAAGUUACAUUUUGUUGUUUACAACUGUGAUUCAUAGUAUCGUGAAUCGAAAGUUAAGUGUUUCUAUUUUGAAUACUUCGGUUCCUUUGAUUUCUUUUAAUGUACCGCAAUGCGUUGUAGAAUUAGAAAAGGAAGGGCUGUUAGAGUUGAAUUAUAAGGAAUUGAGAAGAGCAAUGGCGUUUUUAUUGGAAUGGCCACAAGUUUUAACUCCUUGUGGGAUGAUGAUUUUUAUGGGAAUGAUAAUGCCAUUAGCAGUAGCUUUAGAUUUACAGCCUUCUAUGCUUAAAGUUCAGUUUUUUGGGAUGAUUUAUUCAUUUAAUCCUUUAUUGUAUCAUGUUGUUUUGGUCAUGUAUUCGCAUUUUUCCGAAGCAUUUAACGAGCAGGAAAUUGAGAUUGUGAGAAGACUUUAUUUGGUUUCAUUGGAAACACAGCAACAUUUGGUGUUUCGAUUGCUUUCAGUGCAUUGGUUGAUGGUUUUUCUGAAUAGGUUGAUGGUCGAGAAGAAGAAGUCGAUUGUAGAAACGGGUUUCAUGUUUUAUCCGAGCGUGUUUGAUCCACUUUCGUUGAAAGCAUUAAAGCUAGAUUUACUUGCUUUCUGUUCUGUUUGUAUCGAUAAGUUGAAUCCUCAAAGUGUUUCAGAUAUGGAAGGGAAUUCGGUAGUGAAGCUCUUUCAGGAUGGUCUAGUAUCAGUUUUGGGUUUCAAAUGGUUGCCUCCUUGGAGCACGGAAACUGCAGUGGCAUUCCGUACUUUCCAUAAAUUUUUGAUAGGCGCAUCAUCUCAUUCCGAGGCUGAUCCUUCCACCACCACUGCACUUAUGGAAUCCGCCAUUUUCAAUCAUUUAAAGGUUUUUUCUUUUUCAUUAUAAAGUACUCAUUUAAUUAUGCCUCAAUGAAUCUAAUUUACAUCUACUUAACUAUAUGGAGUAUGUCCAUUAUCUGAAAUAGAUUAUUAUGUCGAUCAUAUAAUUAUUAUGAUGGCAUUUAUGUAGGAGUGGAUUAAUCAGGUACAAGGAAUGAAAAUUAAAACAUAAUUUGCCACACGUAUAAAACUUAAUUCAAUUUAUUUAGUCUUUUCCAGUUCGUUUAAUAUGAAUGAAAAAUGUUUUCUUUUUUUUUUGGAAUUUAUAUGCAUGGGUUUGUGUUUAUAUAAAUAUAGGUGAAUGUACCAAGGAGCUUGAUCAAAUUAGUCCCUCUACUAUUAAAUGGAUCAGUUUAGUCUAUCUACUAUUAAAAUGAAUCAAAUAAGUCCAAAUUGGAAUAAAAUUAAUAUUUACUGUUUAACAAAAUAUUUUUGAAGUUUUUAUUAUUCUAUAAAUGAAAUCUUUUCUUUGGAAUUGAACUUCAAUUGAAAAAAAUAUUUUUUAGGGCAUUUUUUAUAUAGUAAAUGUUAACUCUAUUACAAUUUGGACUUAUUGAUUCUUUUUAAUAGUACAGGGACUAAAUUGAUCCAUUUAAUAAUAGAGGGACUAAUUUGAUCCAGUCACUAUAAUACAGGGAUCUCCCAGGUACUUUAACCUAUACAAAGUUCAUGAAUUGUUUGUUUUUACUCAAUAAUUUUAUAAUAAAAGUAUAUGCUAAUGGGAUCAUUAGUUUUACUGAAUUGGAUCACAAGUGUUCCUUGAUUUGGAAUGUGUGUACCAAUUCGAAAAUCGCUUAGAGAUAACGAUUUCUGGUAACUGAGAUGCAGAACUAGACUCGAAGUUUAUGUUUUAGCUGAUUCUAAAUCCUGAGUAUGACACGGGAAAAAUUAUACUGUUUAUGUUUUAGCUGAUUCUAAAUCCUGAGUAUGACACGGGAAAAAUUAUACUCCAAUGGGCUAUAUGCUGAUAUUUGUUAACUUCUUUUGUUCAGGGGAUGUUUGUUGACUUGAUACUGGAGUUUCAGAGAUUGGUUCCAGUCAUUGUUGCUUUUAUUGACCGUUUGUUAGGCUGUCAAAGGCAUCUUUGGUUGGGAGAACGUCUGCUUCAAACGAUCGAUGCGAGUCUGCAUUCAAGAGUUGCAAUUGAUUAUAGACUAGUUUCAUACUUCCCGAUUUUCGAUAGGAUUGCUGAAAAUCAAACAAUACCUCCGCGUAGGUUGUUAGAGCUACUAACCAAGUUCAUGGCUUUCCUUGUUGAGAAACAUGGACCAGACACAGGUGUAAAAUCUUGGUCUCGGGGUAGUAAGGUCCUCGGCAUUUGCAGAACCAUGCUAACUCACCAUCAGAGCUCUCGUUUAUUCCUUGGUUUAUCCCGUCUCCUGGCGUUCACCUGCCUUUACUUCCCUGAUUUGGAGGUUCGUGACCACGCAAGGUAUGAAGGGACGACUUUGUUCUUUUUCCUUUUUUAACAUUUCUGUUCCAUGUUGACCCAACAGGAAGAAAAAUAGUCUAAAUUAUAAGGAAUCUCGAGAAGAGUUUUUGAUUAUUUUCUGUCAUGUAAAUUUACAGGAUCUACUUGAGGAUGCUGAUUUGUGUACCCGGAGUGAAGCUUAGAGGAAUGCUAAACCUUGGGGAGCAACUCCUUGGUAUUUCCCCCUCGUCUCAUUCCGGAUCAUUCUUCAACGUGCCAUCUCCUCGACAUUCUCAAGAUCCCAAGAAAUUAAAGAACAUCGCAUCCUAUAUCCAUCUCGAGCGGAUGAUACCACUACUUGUCAAACAGGCUUGGUCGUUGUCUUUAUUGCCUUUAAGGGUCGGGAGUAACAAACCAGAUUUUUCUGGUGGCUUUAGGGAUGGUGGAGCCUCGACAGAUGAAAGAGAACUUGAUGCCACUAUACAAUUUGAGACUGUAUUAGAUGGUCAGGUAAUGGAUAAACCACAGGCGCCAUUAUAUGUGAUGGACUCGAAAGUUUCAGAGAUUUUAGCGAUAUUAAGGAGACAUUUCACGUAUAUUCCUGAUUUUAGACAUAUGCCGGGGCUUAGGGUUAAAAUUCCUUGCUAUUUGAGAUUUGAUGCGGAGUCUUUCAAUAAUGUUUGGGGAAGUGAGUCCCCGAAAAGUGGGUUACACGGAGUAGAUGCCCUCCCUGCCAUAUAUGCUACAGUAUUGAAAUUCUCAUCGUUGGCACCAUAUGGGUCAAUUCCGACAUGUCAUAUACCCUUUCUUCUCGGUCAACCUCCAACUAGUGGUGAUUUUCGUGGUGAAAAUUUUUCACUAGACAUCAUUGCUACACACGAUGGUGAUGGUGGUAGUGAAGAAGAUAUCUAUAAAGCUCCUGCAAUGAUCGAAUUGGAACCACGUGAGCCAACUCCCGGUAUGGUUGAUGUUUUCAUUGAAACAAACGGGGAAGAUGGUCAAAUCAUCACAGGACAGUUGCAAAGUAUUACGGUUGGCAUUGAAGAUUUGUUUCUUAAAGCUAUUGCCCCACCAGACAUCCCAGAAGAUGUUUUACCUGAUUACUAUUCAGAUUUGUUCAAUGCCUUGUGGGAUGCAUGUGGUACUACUUCCAAUACCGGGCGGGAGAUUUUCCCCUUAAAGAGUGGCAAAGGGUUUGCCGCCAUUCAUGGAACCAGAUCCGUGAAGUUGCUUGAGAUUCCUCCAUAUGCUUUAAUUCGUGCCACUGAACAUUAUCUGGCACCAUUUGUAGUUAGCGUGAGCGGAGAUCGUCUCAUUGACAUGGUAAAGGAUAAUGGAAUUAUCAGAGACGUUGUAUGGCAAGAUGAAGCCUCUGGACUUUUGCUUGAAGCCCCCACCUCAGUUGCCGAACCUGACAGUAUGCCUCUUUAUCUUACUUUAGUCGAGAACGAAGAAGAGCAGGAAAGUCAGUUAAACAUUGGCAAAAGAAGUCUCGGUUGCAUCCAUGUCUUGAUUUUUCUUCCCCCGAUGUUCCAUCUCUUGUUACAAAUGGAAGUAAGUGAUGCUUCGACUUUAGUUCGUAUUCGCACCGAUCAUUGGCCAUGCUUAGCUUACAUCGAUGAUUACUUGGAGGCAUUGUUUUUGUCAUAAAGGUGAUUGCACGAACCAGUUGGGUUAAACUUCGAGUUUUGCCAGUUGGAUGCCAUUUUUAAAAGGUGAUUGCUUGAACUAAUCGUGCUAAACUUCAAGGCUUCAUUCGACACGGUUCAAACUUCACUCUGGUUGGUGCCGAUUUUUUGCAUGGAUUAAUUGAAUUAAACAUCGAGAUUUCACUGCAUUACGGUUAAAUACAACCCGUUGUUGUGAAACUUUUUGCAUAUGUUCAUGUAUUCUUUUUUUAAGAUGAUAUGUGCAUUUUGUUAGGAAAGGGGAGCUUUUUGCACCCAUUUUGUUCAUGUAAUGCUGUUAGGGAAAAAAAAAAAAAAAGCCUCUGCAACACAUCUCAGGACUUUGUAUUUUUUUAAAAUAAUAAUAAUUAUUUAUUUUCCAUGUAUCACAAUUUUGUCAGUACAUUUAAAUAUUUUAAUUAUUUUUUCGUAUCAUAGUUUAUGUCAUGUCUUAAUACAAAUUAGAUUCUGAUAGUAAAAGUAUUAUGGAGAUUUCUGUAUUAUGAGUUUAAUUAUAUUUUAUAUUAGACUAAUAAGUAAAUUCGUUUUUUCUAUUAAAAAAUUUAUCUAUUUUUAUUGAUAAAAACAAUUAGACAGUUACAUGUGAUGUGUCACGUGUGUUUUAUUCUGAUGUAUAAGAACUAACUUUUAGUAGUAGAAAUGGAUGGAAUUUUUAACAUAAGGACUAAUUUGCUCCUUGAUCUAAUAUAUAGAAAUUAAUUUAUCUAUUUUUUUAAUAGAAAGAUAAAAUACAAUAUGAAUUGUUUAAUUUGUAGCGAAGGUAUACUUCAGCAAGGCAUAAGAGAAGCUUGUUCCACCUUCAAUUAAAAAAGUUCCUAACAAAAUAAAGCUCUCAUGGGGUUUUGGAUAAGGUAAUUUUAUUAAUUAAAUUUAAAUUAUAAUAUCUAAGUAUGAAUAUAAAACAUGUAUUUUAAAUAUAUAUAAUUAAUUAAAUUUUUUUGUUAAAUUUUAAUGUUUUUGAAACCGGAUUGGUGGUUGAAUUGGUCAAAGUCAUCGGGUUUGUUUGAUUCAAAUUGAGUAAAUUAUUAAAAAAUUAUAAUAAAAAAAGAGUAAAAAUUGAAAAUUAUUAAAAGAUCAUAAAAUCUAGUUUAAUUAAUUUUUAGCCUAAUACAAUCGGUUCAUAUCAAUUUGUGGAUCAACUGAUUGUUUACCUUGUUUUGGAUCAGAUCGGUCUGUUCUUAAUUUAACCGUUCUAACUAGCUGAUCCAAUCCAGUUUCAACAACCUUAUUAAAUAGGAUAAAUUACACCUAAUAUCAUUAAAUUAUUAGUAAAUUUAUGUUUAGGUCACUCAACUUUUAAAAAAAUUAUAAAAUUAUCACUAAACUAUUCAAAAGUUUUUAUUUAAGUCACUGAGCUAUUAAGAUUUUUUUUUUAAAAAAGGAAAGUUCAGUUAGUGAUCUCUAAGUGACGAUUUGACAAUCAAUAUGGUAGAUCAGUACCUAUCAACGAGUAUAAAAAACAUAUGUUAGAUCCAAGUCGAUCUGACAAUCAAUGUUAGGAAUCGGAGAAGAACAUUAUUUAGACUUUGGUUCGCAGAUUGUGAUAUUCAAAACUAUUUCAUAAAAGAAAAAAAUUGAACUAUAAAAGAUAAUGAGAAUAAGAGCUUUCAAUUGAUAUAGGCGAUACGAACAGAGAAAGUCAUACAACAACAAUUUGAACAGCUCAAUGACUAAAUAAAAACUUUCAAAUAAUUCAAUCACUAUUUUAUAACUUUUAAAAAUUAAAUAAUUAAUAAAUUAAUGUGAUUGAGUGCAGCUUAUCUUAUUAAAUAUCAUGGAACUUCCACAAGGAUACAAGUGGGUCCUAUACCUAUUGGCCAAAAAAGUAUCCACCUAAAUCCCACAAUGGUGAGAAUAUAUAAGGCAAUAUAUAUAUAUUUAAAAAAACCCUUGAAUUUGAAUUAUGUCUAACCAAUAUUUUCUUUUUUUGUCUUUUUAUUUGGGAAAAAAAUCCAAAAAUCCCUUUGAUUUUAUAUGAAAAACAACAGCAUAUAAUAUUAUAUAUAUUUGCAAUUUUUUAGUCCCUAUUUACCAAACCCCAUAUAAAUUCAAAUCCAUCCCCACUAAAGAAAAAUAAUAGAAACACAAAAUAAUUUGGUUCACACAUUCUUAUAAUCUUCAAUUAUUUUAAAAAAAAAGAUACUAUUUAAUUUGCCUUUGCAAGUAAAGUCAACUUAAUUGAUGCUAACAAGCAUUAAUUAAAUACUAUUAAUUAAUAUUUCUAAAAGAAUACUCUCACAUUCAAUACAGUAAUUUUAGUUCUCAAAGUAGAUUGUAUUCAUAUAAUAAACUUAUAAUUUAAUCAAUAUUAUUAUCCUAAAAAUAAUUUCUCAAAUUAUCUUAAAAUAUAUUUUAAAAAUUUCACUCGUAUUUUUUUUGAACAAUUUCAUUAUAAAUUCUAAUAAAAUAUAUUUUUUUUGAUACAAUACCUAGAACGACUCGUAACUCCUUCCUAAUACAUAAAUAGAAGGAUAGUGCAAUAGGCACUGGUAAAGUUUUCUUGAUAUACUAUAAUAGACAAUAAUAAUUAUUCAUUUAAUUUUUUCUUAUUUUAUGCAUUGCUAGUGAACAACAUUGACAUAUGUCCUUCAAUUAUAUUUAUUUUUAGGUUAAAUUGCAUCUAAGGUCACUAAACUAUUAGUAAUUUUACAAUUUGGUCAUUUAACUUUAAAAAAAUAUAAAUAGUCAUUGAACUAUUUGAAAUUUACUCAUUAGGCUAUUAAAUCACUGUUGUGUGAUUUUUUUACAUUCGCACCACCUAUAUUAAUCGAAAGCUCUUCUUCUUUAAUCUUUUGACGAAACAAUUUUGAAUUUCAUGGAUAUGCAAAUCAAAACCUAAACAGUUUUCUUCUCCAAUCUCCGACAUUGACCGUUAAGUCGACUUGGAUUUAACGUACAGAUCAUCAAACCGUCACUUGAAAUUUGCUAAUCAGACUUAAAAUAAAAAAGCUUAACAUCCUAAAAACUUUUGAAUAAUUUAAUGACUUAAAUGAAAACUUUCAAAUAAAAUUCAAUGUCCAUUUCAUAACAUUUUGUAAUUAAAUGACCAAAAGACAAAUUUACUAAUAAUUUAGUGACCUUGGAUAUAAUUUACCCUAUAUAUUUUUUUAUCCAUUACUGUUUGACUAACUUACUGUUUCCAUAGUUUAAAAAAAAAAACUCACUGUUUCCAUCUUACAAUCAUUUCUAAAAUUUUUCACCUUGUUUCAAACACCAUUACUAAUAAGCUUUAUUUAAGACACCCAUAUGAACCCCAAACACCCCCACUGGUAAAAGAAGCUUCAAUCUUUUUUAUCAAUGGCGGCUUACACUACCUGCAACAAAACAUGUCUCUUUUCUCUUGUCUUUCACUGUUUUUCUUCUGUUUUUUUUUUUGUUUCAAAACCAUAGAAUUUUAAUUUUUUAUUUACCUUUUUUUUUUAAAUGUGAAUUGCAGCCAUUGAUGGAAGUAGGUCACCAUUGUUUCAAAAUCUAGAUUCGGAUUUCUCUUCUGGGUAUCUCGAAGAUGCUUUACUUGAAUUCACUGAAAUGUCAAAACGGAGACGAUUGUUGUCGUUUCAUGGUGGUGAUGGUGAUGAUGAUGAUUUAACAAAUAGCUUUAAUGAUCUUGCAAUGGUAUAUACAAAUUUUUUUCGAUUUUUUCUUCUUUUUUUCUCAAUAAUAAAGCAAUUAUUUAUGUCAAUCAAAAGAAUAUACUGAAAUAUCUGUAUUUGUUUUUUAUGCAGAAUUAUAUGAAUUCUGAGAAUUUCAGCUGCAUGAACCAGUUAACAACCAUUAAUGGAGUUUCAGGUAAUGAUUUUUUCUGGUUUAAUUCUGGUUUAGUCCCCCUACUCUGUUAAAAUUUGGGAUUUAAUCCCCUACUUUAAUUUAACAUAAUUUGGUCCUCUACUUUUAGGCUUUAAUGCAAAAUUGGCCUUCUAAUUAUAACAUUUUUCCCACAUAAGUGUCUAAACUUUAAUUUAACAUUUUCUUUGGUACACCUUCCUUUCAUUUUACCUCAAGUCACAAUAUCAACUAAUAAAAAUGUGACACGUGGCACAUUAUUACUAUAUGUGAUAAACUUAUCGAGUAAAAUGAGAGGAAAUUGAUAAUUUAGAUGUCACUUUUAUAAUGUUAUUAGUAUGUCUAAAUUUAUAACACUGUUAAUUGUUACCGUUAAAUCGAUGAUUUGACUUUUUUUACUGAUACGUGAUCCAUAGUCAGAACCACGUGAAAAUCUAGUUAAUCAUGUACAGAUAAUCAGUAAUAAAUUUGAAUUUCCAUUGAAAUCCCCUAACAAGGAUGAAGCUCAGGUAGAGACCUUUGCCCCUUGGUUAAAUGGUAUAAUUCUCCUUGUAGUCCUUUUUAAAAAUUAAAAGUUCAAUUUUAGUCCCUUUAAACUUUGGUCAAAUGAAAAAUUUUCAUUUCUGGUCCCUACAAAAAAUUUAUUUAUUCAAUUUAGAUCAUUUCAACUUAAAAAAAUUUAGCUUUGGCCCCAACAUUUUUAAUUUUAUCUCGAUCACCAAUAUAAAAUUUCUAGCUUUGUCCUUGUGCUUAAAGUCGUUUUAGAAAAAAAAAAAACCACGUCAUCACUUUAACAACAACAACUAACGGUCAAUUUAGACCUAUUAAUAACAUUAUAAGAGGAGAGAGACUCAAUUAUGACAAAUUAUAUUAGAUGGAUUAAAACUUAAAUUUUAGCAUAGUAAUGAGACCGAAAUCAAAAUAAAACAAUUUAAAAGUUUUUUGUUAUGGAAAUUCGUAUCUCGGAAUAUGUCAAAAACAAAUAUUUUUUAAAACAUGAAAAUUCAACAAAAAAAUAAAAAUCUCUAUAUCUAUUUUACAGUUCAAAAAGACUAAUCAUUUUAUGGUUCAUGAUUACCUUCCUAACAACAUCGUCUUCAAAUUUUCAUGAUUACCUUCCUAACAACAUCGUCUUCAAAUUUAAUUAACCUUGAUUUUCUUUUAAUGUAUAAGGAAAUGAAGAUAAAAAGAAGAACAAAAGGGUGAUAAAAAGUGUUGUUUAUCCAUUUGCAUUAGUAAAACCGGGAGGGAUUGAAGGCGAUAUGACAUUAAAUGACAUUAAUCAAAGGCUUUUAAUGCCGCCGACAAGACCGAUCCGACACCCUGUUGGGGACUCCGCUUGUCGGCCAUGCAUGUCAGCCGACGGUAAUGGCCUUUCUGGCAAAGCCGUGACGGCACUCACCAAAAUAUACACUAAAGGAAGUGGCUCCAUCACCAUAAUUAGAACUAAAGGUUAAGUGAGUUUUCUAUUGGAAGUGGCUCCAUCACCAUAAUUAGAACUAAAGGUUAAGUGAGUUUUCUAUUGAUAUCGAAAUAGUUAAAUUAUGAUAUUGAUCCCUCAAUUAUGCUUAAAUUUGAUGUUUAACUUUUGUAAUUUAAUUUGGCAUAAUGUAGUCUUUACUUUUACAAUGUUAUUUUAACACUGUUAGCUAACAAAUACUCCAAUUAAAAUACCAACACAGUUUUUUCUUAAAAGUAUUUUAAUUGGAAUAGUUACUUAUUUGGACUAACUAAUUAUUUAAACUAUAUUAAAUUUUAGGGACUAAAUCUUAAAUUUAAGCAAAGUAAUGGAAGUUGAUCUAUAAGGUUUAUAUUUGAUGGCAUAUGUACACCAAAAGUAAAUUUAAAUGAUUUUAUUCACCCUUAUUGUAUCAAAUAUUAAUAAAUAUAUAUAUAUAUAUAUAAAUAAAAGAUAAGUGUGAUAAUUAAUGUAAAAAAAUAUUUCAUAUUUGGCAUAUUAUAUAGUUAUUAAUAGAAUUUAAAGUAAAUUAUUUUUUUAAAGUAAAUUUCACUAAAUAUUAAUUGCAAAAUAUUUAUAAUCAUAAAUAUAAAAUAUCCUUAAUUUCUAAAACAGAUAAUAUUACGAACUUAAACAUAUUCGAAUUUAUAUCCUUUAAGUUGUUAUAACAACAACAAUACCAACCAAAGUAAUGCUUCGUUGGCAAACACUUUAUUUGUUAAUAAUAACAAUACCAAUAAAACCAAACUAAAACACAUUCGACUGUUGUUGUUAAUAGGCAAUGGUAAUAAAUUUAUCCCUUAACGUUUUCAUCUUUUAUCAAUUUGGUUGUUAUUCCUUUUUUAACUAAAUUUGGACUCUAACCUUUUAAAAUGAGUUAAAUUUGAUCAUCAAUCUUUUUAAAAAAGUCCAAUUGUUUUUUUUUUGAAAGAAUUACUGGCUAAAACUUUAAAUUUUUAAACAUGGACACCCGCGUGACAAUCUACGUGUACUUCAUUCUAUGUUUUUGAAUUUUUUUUUAUAAAUUUUGAAUUAUUCGUGAUGUGGCAUAUAAGAAAAAUAGUGACAUGUCAACAUGAAAUACACGUGGACUGCCACGCAAGUUGCCACGACAACUUGUUUAAAAAUUAAUGUUUUGGUCAACAUUUCCAAUAGAAAAACAAUUUGACUCUUUUUGAAAUGUUAUGACCAAAUUUAACUAAAAAGGAAUAAGAACCAAUUUGUUAAAAAAAAUUGUAAACAUUAAUGAAAAAGCCUUGGUCAAAACAAUUUUGUUUAAUCUUACGUUGGACCGGAAAUUGGGAUAGAGUAUAUUUUUUUAGUAAGGUAGAACAAGAUGUAAAUACAAUAUUUAUUAACGCAGUUUAGAUUAACAAUCCUAUGUUUACAGAGCUUUGUUCAGAGAGAGAUUUUAUUCAACUAGUAUAACUAUUGGUUAAAGCCUAAACUACCCUUCAAACAUAUAUAAGGAUAUUAUAUUCAACCAAAAUUGUUAAAAAUCAAUCUCCCGAAUCCCUAAGACACUCCAAAACUUGUCACUAAUGUACAUCUUUGUUUAAAAAUUAGUAUUUUAGUCAACAUUUCCGUUAGAAAAAUAAUUUGACUCUUUUCGAAAUGUUAUGACCAAAUUUAACUAAAAAAAGACUAAGAACCAAAUUGAUAAAAAAAAAUUGUAAACAUUAAUGAAAAAACCUUUGUUGAAAACACUUUUGGUUAAUCUUACGUGGGACCAAAAAUUGGGAUAGAACAUAUUUUUUUAAUAAGGUAGAUCAAGAUGUAAAUGCAAUAUUUAUUAACGCAGUUCAGAUUAACAAUCCUACGUUUACAGAGCCUCUUUCAGAGAGAGAUUUUAUUCCUAGUACAACUAUUGGUUAAAGCCUAAACUACUCUUCACACAUACGGAUAUUUGUAGCCUAAUAUUCAACCAAAAUUGUUAAAAAUCAAUCCGUAAGACACUCCAAAACUUGUCACUAAUGUGCGUCAAUCAAGCCUAUUUACAAGGUGAUACAAACAACCCCUUUAACAAAAUUUUGAUAAACUUCAAACUCCCAAUUAAAAAUUGAUUUUAUCUCUUAAAGUAUCUUCAAAGAUUAUUCCAUUUGUUUUUUUAAAGCGGCUUAAAAUACUUAAAAGAUAAGGAUAAGGAUAACACUCUUCAAGGAAGUAUCAUGAAUGCCCUUAUAGUAAGAGUUGGAUGGCAUUUUAUCCCCUCACUCAAAAAAUGAGCAAAUUAGUCUUUAUAUGUUAAAUCAAAGAGCAAAUUGGUCAUUUUGUUAAAAAUUCCAUCUAUUUUUAUUGUUAAAAACUAGUUCUUGUAUGUUAGCAUAAGGUACAUGUAGCAUGCCACAUGUAAUUGUUUGAUUAUUUCGUGAUCCACGCCAAUUUAUUCUUUAAUCUAAUGAAUAGAGAUUAAUUUGCUCAUUUUUUUCAACAAAAUGAACCAAAAUACAAUUUGACUCCUAGUAAAACUAACUCCAUGAUAAUUUUACUGACAGUUCAAUAAUUCAAACUCUUCUCCUUUCUCAAAAAAGCCAACCGAAUGAAUAAUUUUAGAUUCUCUAUUUUAUACGAAAUUCUCCUAAUUUGUUAGUUUAAAUAAGAGUCAAACAUGCCAACUAAAAAACUUUGACUACACUAAAAUUAUUGUUCCAUUUAACGUCGGAAUCAUAUCUUGUUUUUAAUUUUUUUGUCUUAUUUAUAUUUAAAUCCGACAAAGACAUGCCUUAUUAAUUGAAUCAAACAAAAGCCGAUUGAGUCUUAACUUGAUCGACAUGGGCAUUGUUAUUAAUGCAGGAGGAUAUAGGUUCAAUUGGUAUGGGCAUUAUCCUCCUAUUUAUGAGUUAGAAAGGGACUCUAAAUAAUUCUAAAUAAUUCUAGGUAUUGUAUAAAAAAAUAAAUCAAAAUAUAUAAUGGAAUUAUUUAAAAAAUUAAAAUAAAAAAAAGCAAAUAAAUCCAAUAAAGAGUCAUCAAAAUUCAAAUGAAGUCAAAACUUUUGAAAAUUUUAAAGCUUUUUGCAACAAUGGCAUAUCAUAUAGGGCAUGCAUAUAUCUUUACAUUGUAAAGUGCUUACAGUUCAUGGUAGUUGAAACAUUUAAUUAUGCAAUGAAAUUAAAAUGGAACAUACUAUAUAUUUGGUCCUUCAUGUUUUAAGGACUAAAUCUCAAAAUUUAUAAAAGUAUAAGGAUUAAUAAUAUAUUUUAAUCUAAUUGUUUUGGGUUGAGUAAAAGUAUUAUGGAGGCCCUUGUACUUGUACUAAGAGUCGGAUUGCAUUUGCUCUCUCUACUAAAAAAUGAGCAAAUUAAUCCCCAUACAUUAAAUCAAAAAGUAAAUAGGUUCUUUUGUUAAAAAAUUUCUCUAUUUUUGUUAUUAAAAAUAGGUCCAUAUACAUCAGCAUGACGUACAUGUAGCAUAACAUUUAUCACUAUCUGAUUAUUCUAUCAACUACGUAAGUUUUUAACAAUACAAAUAAAUAAAUUUUUAAAAAAAAUAAUUAAUUUAUUCUUUAAAUUAAUGUAUAAAUAUUAAUUUAUUUAUUUUUAAUAAAAAAUAAAAUAUAAUUUAACUCUUAAUAUAAAAUACUCUAUAAUACUUUUACGUGUUGGGUAGUUAAGUUUAGCUCAAAUUGAUUAAAUAUUUGGCUAUUGAGGAUGACAUCAAAAUUGUCCUCUUUCUCUAUUGGUCAACGCCCAUCUAUUUGAAACUUUGACCUUUCCCCGACAAGAAUGAGAAAUAUGGGACCCAUUAUUAAACAUAAAAUAUUCGUACCCUGUUUUUGAUCUUACAUGCACCUUAAAUCUCAACCGUUGAAAGCCUUUAAAUUUUCAAAGUGGGGAACAAUCAGAUUAAUCCGACGGUUGUAAUGAGAAGCAGAGCAAAACAUGAGAUUGAGAGUGACCCAAGUCCGUUUCACAGCUGUAAGGCAAAAAGGUCGCAGCUACGUGGUUGAAAAAAGGGUAAAUUUUACCAAAGUCACUAAACUAUUAGUAAGUUUACACUUCGGUCACUUAACUUCAAAAAGUUACAAAAUAGUCAAUGAACUAUUUGAAAGUUUUCAUUUAAGUCACUAGGCUGUUAAAAUCAUUAUUUUAUGACCUUCUUUAUUUAUACAGCCUGUACCAAUCCAAAGCUCUCAUUUUACUCCUUUUCUACAAUUUAGUUUUUUUUUUCUUGAAAUAACUUAAAAUGUCAUAAUUCUAUGAACGAAAAUCCAAAUAGUUUCCUUCUCCGAUCUCCAACACUAACUAUCACAUCAAAUAGUUUCUUAUGAAAUUGUGUUGAAAAUGCAGUGAUUAGGGUCUCGAAUGAUAUGGUCGGUCGAGUGUUGAGAUUGUAGAGCAAAGGGUCGGGGAUGCUUUUAUUAAUCCGUAGAUACGGAUAUUCUCUUUAAAUUUUAAAGGGAAUAAGGUACGUUGAUUGUUGUUUUUUCGAUUAAAUGAGAUAUUAAAUUAUCUAAGUUCGGCUAAAAAAAUUGGAUUAGUUAUUGUCUAGCUCGAGUUAUGAGACUCGAGUUACAAACUAGUCACAUUUAAGUAUGUGUUUGACUCAAAUAACUCAUAAAACUAACUGAAAUUGGAUCAAUCACUAUUGAGCUUGAGUUUGAGUAGCUCAAGAUAUAGUGAUGUUGCCAAGGGUUAAACAGAUCCUUAGCUCCUAAAAUGGUAUAAUACUAGUUUAGUCCUUCCAAUACAAAGAUAAAUUAUAUUUUGUCCUCGUAAAAAUUUAUAAUUUAUCUUCCAUCUUCUAAAAAUAGUGAAAUAUUAAUUUAAUCCCUAUAUAAAUUACAAAGUUGUAAGUUAACAUAACUCUAAGAUUACCUCCAAAGUCUCUUAUAAAUUUAUAAUUUAUUUCUGCUCACACCUAUCGAGAUACGCAACAAGCCAGAUUGGAGUAUAGCAAUUAAACUCAUUUUUUUUAGUUCUUUUUUUUAAGAAACGAAGCUCAACCAAUUCAACCAUUAUCUCAAAAUGAACUCAAGAUUUAAAAGUGAAAUUUGAUCGAGUUCGAGUUUAACUUCAAGCCUAGAACUCGAGUUAAACUCGAGUUUUUUACCGUUUGAAUCCUUAUAUUCAGUCAAUUCUUCAUUUCAAAUGCAAAUUAUGAUGUAUAACUUGGAUAUAGAUACACCAUCCUUGUAUCAAUGUUCCUUGCCGAUGCUAACAAGUGUCAUUAUUAUUAUUUUUAAAUAAAAACACAUAUAUGUGCAUGCUUUGUAGCAAUUAUUUGGUUCAUCAGAUUCAUCCUUCUUUCAUUAGUUGUAUUUUUUCUUUCUCCUCAAAUAUUCAUCCACAAGAAAUUAUUAUUAGAUAAAUCCAUAUAUUCGUAUCAAAUUUAUAUAUAUUUUUUCAUAAUUAUAUUUAAAUAUUUUAUAUUUAUCAAUUUAUAUAUUCAUCUCGUACUUUUUUUCUUUUUCUUUUUUUUUUUUGUUUCAUAUUCGUAAAGGUAUUGAUAAAACACUUACAAUUACAAACUACUUGAAUUUGAUUAAGAAAUUUAUCAAGUUUAAUUUUGAGUUGAACGUGUUAAUAAGAGUCGUAUUAUUUCGAACAACUCACGUGCUCGAACUUAAUUAUUGGAAUUAAAUAAUCAAUUAAGCAAAGCACACGCAGUUUGACCAUAUCUUGACUCGAACUUCAACUUAGAAAAUAAUAUUCGAUCAAGUUUGAUCCAAGCAAAAGUAAUCAUGUUUACAAUGUUUUAUGUUUAUAUUAACUUUUGACCGGUAAAUAAUUUGUGUUACGUAGAUUUUAAACUAUUCAUAUAUCCAUCUCGUGCUCGUGUCAUAUUUUCUUCGUGUUAUAAUUAUAUUUAAAUAUUUAAAGUAUUAAGAACAUCUAAAUACUCGUUUUGAGGUAGAGUCUAUACAAAAAAACCUGGUUCCAGCUAGAGUAUUGAAAUUCAAGUAAUUAAUUAAGCCAAGCUUGCAUUGUUUGACUAUAUCUCGACCUGAACUUCAACUUAGAAAAUAAUAUUCAAUCAAGUUUGAGACAAAUAAAUCAUUUGUGUUGAAUAGAUUUUGAUAUAUUCGUAUAUCCCGUCUCGUGCUCGUGUCUUAUUUUUCCUUGCUCGUAUGUCUUAUUUUUCCGAACUAUGUAAUCAUAUCGUGUUUGCUCCAAUGCUGUUAAAAAGCUUGAGAGCUUCAAAGUAAGUGAAGAACAUCCCAAUUUGGUAAUUCUAGGGUUUUGUUCCAAGGAACCGAAACACCAAUACAUGCCUGAUGGAUCUCUCGGGUGGAAGUUCGGGUUCGUUCAGUUGGGAGAAAAUCCAGAAAAUUGUGCUCGAAACCGGGCAAGGGAUCUUUUUACAUGGAUGAGAAUUUCAGACCCAGGACUUCGGAUUUCGGGAUAGUGAAAUUGAGCCUGAAGAAGCAUGAUCUCCUCUCAUUAUAUGAAAGAAGUGAAACAAUGGGACAUAUGGCACUAGAAUUGAUGGUUUCAAGGGAUUUCGAGGCUGUUUCAUGAAAAUCCGAUGUCUAUAGUUUCAUAAUGUCUUAGAAAUGGCAUGCGGAAGAAGGCAUGUCGACGUCGAUGCAAUCAAUUCGAGCAAAGUGCAUUUUCCUACUUGGGUCUAUGAAAUAAAUGAGGGGAGAUUUGGAGUUUGAGGACCUGAAGAAAAGUUGUUCAUAAUCGGGUUAUGGUGCACUCAAACUUGGCCAUCUUGGCCAUCGGUUUGCCCCUCCAUGAACAGAGUCCUGGAGAUGUUAGAAAUGAACCUUAAUGAUCCGGAAAUGCCUCCGAGGCCAGUGCUCAUUCCGGUUCAAUACCUGUGUGAAACAAAGCCAGAACCGGAUUCUCCAAAAGAGAUGCUAUUGCCUGAGACAAUGGAGAGAAGCUCAUAGUAAUAUCAAAGCAUUUUUCACCAGUCUAAGCUUUCAUCUAUACACUGUACAUAAAUGUUCUCUGCAACCACGGUUCUCGUAUAAUUAAAACUUUUAAGUAUCCUAACAUAAAAAAAUCCGCAUUUUCUUCAAUUCUAACGUCGAAAAGAUGUUAGAACAAAAUACCAAAUGAUAAGGAUUGGCUACAUAAUCAUCAUUCACAAGUUUAUGCUAAUAAAGGGAAUAAAUAAAAUGCCAUUGAUGUCAGUUUAAAGAUACCGAGGAAAAGCAGCAUUCAACUGCCAGUCUCUAACAACACUUUCUGGGUGGACGAAAGGAGAAUAUCCGAACAAAAUCCAACAACUAAAAACUCGUCCACAACUUUAAACCGGAAUAAACGGGAUGUUCUUAAAGCAUGAGCACAAAUGAAAAACUACAAGGUUCGAACAAAGACGGCCAUGGGAAUAUAUACAAGUGAAGCAGACCAUAAUUGAUGGAGUUCAACUAUCAUUACCACCAAUAUUAAACCUACCUGAUAGUAACAAACUUGUUGGUACCGUGUCUUGCCCAAUGACUCCUCAAAUCAAUCGGAUUACUGAAGUUGUAAUUUUCAACUGCAAGUUUCUCAAGGACCUUCUUGAAUGCCCCCUGACUCAUUUUCCGGCCAGCUAUCCUUGCACCACGCCUUUUGGUGCUCAUUGGCAAAGGAUACAUGGAUACGUUUGUGGUACAACAAGCGGAUUGCCAACCACCAAAGCCCCAUCGAUAACAUUGCUGAGCCGUUCCAGUGCAUGAGCAAACAGGAAUUGGAAUGCCUGAAAUAUCCAUGUCAUACCCAUUUAUUUUAAAAACAAUACUCUUCUUUGCUGGCUUCACACGUUGAACUGCAGAAUUGGCAUUUUCCUUCGGCUUCUUAGGCUUUUUGGCCUUCGGCAUCUUAGGGGCAGCUCCACCCUGCCUUUUCUUCGGUUCAACACCCUCCUUAUUAGCUGGUGGCUCUUCAACACUACUCGCCACCCUCUCAUCUCUUGUUGAAGAAUCAGGUGGUGGCUGCAAAAUUGGCAAUGAAUGAGCUGCCGACGUUUCCGGGAGAACGGCGUAAUUAGGAGUGGUGGCAGGGAACAUGUUGAAAAACUUAUCUCUGUCAGCAAUCCAACUAUCCCUAACAUAAUUCAUGGGGAUAUGUGCCUCGGAAACAAUGGGGUCCCGCUGGUGAAAGGUGGUAUUGGUAGUAAUCAUGAGAUUGGGAUCACGGCCGGGAAUAAAAGACUUUGCAUCCCGUUCAACCAUGCUCGACAUUAGCUGCAGACCGAGAUGUCCUUUAAACGACGGUUCGUAGUAACCCCAAUUACGCAUAUUCAACGCAUCGUCAUCCAUGAAGCUACUACAUAUAGUUAACAACACAACAGAAAUUAUUAAUCUUUUACCAUGAUUCAAAAUUUUCCAUUCAAGUACUGUUUAGCACUCCCAGUUGAAUAAACAACAAAUACCACAGGGAAACAAAAUAGGAAGAAAAUAAGGGUUAAUAUAACUUUUAGUCCCUGAACUUGGAAAUUAGGUCCACUUUGGUACCUUUACCUUUUUUUUCUCCAUUUAGGUACCCAAACUUGGCAGCUAAGUCCAUUUUGGCCUCUAAACUUAGAUUCCAACAAGAUUUGAUUAUGUAGUACAAUCUGAGAGUGCCACAUCAUCAAACUUUUACAUUUGCCAAGUUUAGGAACCAAAAUGGACCUAGUUACCAAGUUCAAGUACCAAAGUGAACUUAAUUAUCAAGUUCAGGGACUAGAAGUUAUAUUAACCCACAAAAUAAACAUCGGAUUCAAAUAAGAAAUGCAUUGCAAUGACAUUGAACGGAGAUAAAAUACAGAUCCAAUUACAUACAAAGCUAAAUAAAGAUCAAACAGAAACAGCAUUUCAAAAGUCAAGAGUGAUAUAUAAAUCCGUUUGGUUCCCAAGAAUAUAAAUGGAAAGAAAAUAAGUCACAUUUCUAACACUAAACCUCCAAUGAGCUAAAUUAUGGAAACCAAAGAUCUCAUUCCACAGUAAAUAAAUAAAUGAAAAUAUAGCAAAAAAUGGAAGAAGAAAGAAAUCUAAGAUUCCGAAGCAGCAUAAAUUUAAAUCUAAAGAUAGCAAUAGAAAAAAAAAUGGAAACUUUCAGAUUCAAACUCAGUUCUAAUUUGCCCACAUUUUCCCAUGAUCCAAAAUUUCCAAGAAUCAAAACCCAUAAUCAGAUCUACUAAAUAAAGCUAAAAAGAGCCCCCCACAAAAAAAACAAAAUCCUGUUUCUGAGCUUCCAAUUUGGGAAGUUCGUAAGAACCCUAAACCUGCUUCAAAAUUUCAAUCUUCAAAUCUCAAAACAAACAAACAAAUAAAUAUAUAAAUAAAAUAUAUUAAUAGCUUAACAAAGGUGUUAGGACCCAUAUAUCUAUUAUCCAGUAUUUGUUAGAGAAAAGAAAGCAAUGAGAGAUGAUGAAAGCAAAAAAGAAAAAAAAAGGAAAAAUUAAAUUAAAAAAUAAAAAGGAAAGAGAGAUAUAAGUGAGAGGAAAGAUAAAAACUUACUUUGGGGGUGUAAAAUAGCUCUUUAGGGUUUUUUUUUUUGCCUUUUUUCUGGAGAGAGAAAGAGGAGAGAGAAACCACAGAGAAAAAAAAACCUAAAUAAAAAGAAAGAGAAAGAGAGAUAGAGACUGAAGUCUACAGUGUAAAACUCUAAACAAAUACAGAAAGGUUAAAUAUAUUUUUUAAAAAUGUUAUGUAUUGGGUUAAUUCCAGUAAACGUCGUCGAAUUAUCGUAAAGAUUUUAAAUUAGUCAUAAAUUUUAGGGUAAAUUCAACCAAUGUCACUAAACUAUUAGAAAAUUUACGUUUUAGUCACUCAACUUUAAAAUGUUACAAAAUUAUCACAGAACUAUUCAAAAAUUUUUAUUUUAAGUCACUAAAAUGGUCAUUGAAUGGUGAUAAAAGGUGUUCAUGGGCUAUGUAAUCCAACCGACCCGAUCAACUCAACUAAUAUUGGGGUGGGCUGGCUUAGUUUGACCAAUUUUAUUGUUUAAAUAAUAAAAUUAAAAAAUAUAUUAAUAUUAUGUUUAUGAUUAAAUUUAAAUAUAAAAUGAUUUACUAUUAUUUUUAAACAAUAAAAUUGAGUUAAACGAAUUCGAGGUAUUUUUUUUAAAUCGAGCCUCAACCUAGCUUUACUCAUAAAUACUUCUAAUGGUAAUAAAGUAUUUCCAAAGUUUAAGCAUUCAAUCCAUAUUAAAUCAAAUUUGAAUAAUUUUUUUUAAUUAUUUCAAAUGAUUUAUAUAUAAAAAUUAAUUAAUUUUAAAUAUAAAGUAUAUGAAAUAUUAGUGUAAAAUAAUUUUUAAAUAAUGGUACAAACUUUAAAUCAAUUGAAAUUAAAUUUAAAUAUAUUGUGUAAUUUUUAUAUUCAAAAUACACUAAAUAAAAAAUUCAAGACUUAAUUUAUUAAGUUAUUAUUUUGUCAAAAUGGAAUCCAUUUUUCUAUAAAAAAAUUCAAUAUAGUGUAUUUUGAUUAAAAACUUUAUAUUAAAUUUAUUUUGAAUCGAUUUAGAGUUUGUAUCACUAUUUAAAAUUUAUUUUAUACUAAUAUUUUAUAUACCUUAUAAUUAAAUUAUAUAAUUUUUUGAUAUAAUUAAUCUAAAUUAUUAGUAAGUUUAUGUAUUGGUCACUCAACUUUAAAAAGUUGCAAAUUAGUCAUCGAACAAUUCAAAAGUUUUCAUUUAAGUUACUGAAAUAUUUGAAAGUUUUUUUUUAGGUCACUACCUAUUAAGUUUUUUUGGCAUAAUGAUUUAUUUGGCACUUCAACUUUACAAAAAAGUUAUUUUAGCUCCCCAUUUAAUUUUUCGCCUCUUUUAGCUCUUAAACUUGUGUUGUUUGUCAAAUCAUCUAAAAAUAGAUGAAAAGUUAACAUUCGUUAAUAUUGCAUCAAUUAAUUAAUCUUUUAAAAUUUUAAAAUUAAAAGAUAAUUAAAUUAAUUAAUUUUAUUAAAAAUAUAAAAUUAUAACUAUGAUAACGUGUUUGCCAUGUCAACAAUUAAUUAAUCUUUUAAAAUUAAAAAAGUAUAAAAAUAAAAAUUAUUAAAAAAGUAUAAAAAUUAUAAAAAAAUAUUUUUAAAAAAUUAAUUAAUUGCUAAUGUGACAUAUAUAUGGACUGCUACAUGAAUGCCAUAUUAGCAAAAUUAACCAAUAUUAACUUUUUUUUAAUCCAUUUUGAGGUAAUUUGACAAAUAAUGCAAGUUCAAAGGCUAAAAGAGGUAAAAAAAAAUUAAAUAUAAAGCUAAAAUAAUUUUUUGCAAAGUUGGAGGAUUGGAUGAGUCAUUAUGCAUUUAAUUUAUUUCACACUCGACAUGAAUAGUCUACUUAAAUAAAACAUGAAAUAUGAUGAUUUGAUUUUUAAGCAUACUUACAAAUUUAUAUUAUUUUUUAAAUUUUUUAUUUUUAAUAAUUUGUAUAAUUUAAAAAAAUUACAAUUAUUUUAUAUAUUUUUACAAAUUUUAAUGUAUUUCUUUUUAUAAUUUUCAGUAAUUUUUACCACUUUUUAUUAUUUUAAAUAAUUUUUUAUAAUUUUAAAUAAAUUCUAAUAAAUUGAAAAAAACUUAAUUAUUAUUUACAAAUUUUGACAAUUUUCUGUAUAAUUUUUUCAUAUACGUUCUCACUGGCCAAUUUUUUUUUUUUUAAAAGCGGUUAGCUUCUCGGUACAAAAAAUAGAUAAGAAAGCAAAGUUAAGUGCCAAAAUGAAAAUAAAGAGUUUAGGUAUCAAAAUAAAAAAAUAGAUAUAAAUUAAGGGCCAAAUAGUAAAUAAACCCUUGUGUAUUUCUUUACACUUUUAAACUUUAGUGUCUCUCUCUUUCAGUUAUUUUGUUAUUUUUUUCUAUGAGGUUUCUCUCUCCAGAAAAGGGCAAAUACGCUAAAGAGCUAUUUACACCCUCAAAGUAAGGUUUUUUAAUCUUUCCUCUCACUUUCAUCUCUCUUUCCUUUUUUUUUUUUUUGGCCUUCUUUUAUCUCUCAUCACUUUCUCUUUCCCAAACAAAUACUGGAUAAUAGAUAUAUGGGGUCCUAACUCCAUUGUUAAGCUAUUAAUAUAUUUUAUUUUAUUUGUUUAUAUAUAUAUUUGUAUGUUUGUUUGUUUUGAGAGUUGAAGAUUGAAUUUUGAAGCAGGUUUAGGGUUCUUAUGAACUUCCCAAUUUGAAAGCUCAAAAAACAGCAAUAAUGACCCAACCUUUUAUCUAGUAGAUCUGAUUAUGGGUUUUGAUUUAUGGAAUAUUUGGAUACUGGGAAAAUGUGGGCAAAUUAGAACUAAGUUUGAAUCUGAAAGUUUCCGUUUCUGCUGCUUUGGGCUCUUAGAUUUUUUUCCAUUUUAUGCCAUAUGUUCAUUUACUGUGGAUUGAGAUCUUUGGUUUCCAUAAUUUAGCUCAUUGGAUUUUUAGUGUUAGAAAUGUAACAUAUUUUCUCGGGAACCAAACAGAUUAUAUAUCACUCUUUGACUUCUAAAUGCUGUCUCUAUUUGAUCUUUAUUUAGCUUCGUAUGUACUUGGAUCUGUAUUUGAUCUCCCUUCAAUGUAACUGCAGUGCAUUUCUUAUUUGAAGAUUUUCCGAUUUUGUUUUGAUGUUUAUUUUAGGGUUAAUUUAAUUUUUAGUCCCUGAACUUGAUAGUUAGGUUUACUUUGGUACCUAAACUUGGCAACUAUGUCCAUUUUGGUCCCUAAACUUGGUAAAUGUGAAAGUUUGAUAAUGUGGUAUUUUGAGAUUGUGCUGCAUAAUUAAAUCUUGAUGGAAUCCAAGUUCAGAGACCAAAAUGGACUUAGUUGCUAAGUUUAGCUACCUAAGUGGACAAAAAAAGUACAGGUAUCAAAGUGGACCGAAUGUUCAAGUUCAGCGACUAGAAGUUAUAUUAACCCUUAUUUUUUUGAUUUUGUUUCCC
Molecule: long non-coding RNA, 57052 nt
Filed under: Gossypium barbadense (sea-island cotton)
Lineage: Eukaryota; Viridiplantae; Streptophyta; Magnoliopsida; Malvales; Malvaceae
Description: long non-coding RNA (GBAR_LNC003538)
Rfam family: MIR7502 microRNA precursor family (bases 11105-11249)
Source: RNAcentral